RNAcentral lists this long non-coding RNA (44978 nucleotides) under Medicago truncatula (barrel medic). RNAcentral's name for it is "long non-coding RNA (MTRU_LNC005922)". Lineage: Eukaryota; Viridiplantae; Streptophyta; Magnoliopsida; Fabales; Fabaceae. The record is from RNAcentral.
AAAAAAAAAAAAAAAAGAUAUCUAGAUGAUUUGGGGGUGUAACUGGAUUAUUAAGGGUUUAACUAAAAAAACUAUUUAAAAAUUAUUUUUGGUUACAUGCAAAAAUUCUUUAAUUUAUUGACUACAUUGGUGUUAUGUUUAAUUAAAGGGCGAACAAGGUGUUUUAUUUGAGAAUCGAGAAGGUGUAGAAAUGGUGAACAACAAUGGAUGACUACCCAAGAAAUUUGACUAGUGUAACACAGGGAUUCCUCAUACUUGUGUCUCAAAGUAAGGAGAGUUUUUUUUAUCUAUAAUAUUAUAUUUUGGACUGUUUCUAAAAUAAAAUAAAAACUGUUUCCAAAAUAAAAUAAAAAGUAGGUUGGUAAAGGUUAUUUGUCAUUUUGUUGUUUGUCUUCUUUCAUUUAUGCAAACUAAGAACUACAUGACGGCAAAGAUAAGGUAUCACCGCAAAAAAGUGCAUUAUUAUACAUAAAAAUGGAUUCAUCUAUCAGUGUUUUUUUAAAAUUUUAUGAAAUUCCGCAUACUUGAUCUAUUUAAAGUUACUUAGAACUAUGAUCUUAAAAGAAGAUUUAUAGAAUUCUCAUUCUAAAAAAAAACUUAAUAAGAUGGGAAUACUCCCACUCAUUCAGUUCAACCAUCAAAGUCAUUUUUAGCUUCAUGAAUUCCACCCAGUCUUUAAAUUCAAUUCAAUAAUCAGGGAAAUUUGAAACAACCAAAUAAAUACAUAACUUCAAAAUUUAAGCCACACACAAUUGAACCCAACAUCAGUACUUCUCAGCUACUGCUACUUCCAAGGUUGUCUGCAAACUCUACUCUGAAACCUUCCCAUUUGUCUUUCAACUUCUGCUGCUUUGACAGGGCAGCAGUAUAUGAAGAUUUAGACUUCUUAAUACUCGCCAUCAGCUCUUUGCCUUCGGUAAUCAUAUUCUUAGCCUCAUCUUCCACUUUCUUCUUUUCACCUUCACAUUUUUCCAUGCUCUCCUUCAACUUUGUUUUUUCCAACUCAAGAAUUUUCUUUUGCUCGACAAGUAUUCUAAUUUUUUCAUCCGUCUUUUCAACCUCUUCCUCGACACGCUUAGCUUCAUCCUCAAACUGACUCUUUUCUUUCUGUUUUGAUUCCUUCUGUUUCUUAGCAUCUGUCACUCGCUGCAUAAGCUUUUCUUUUUGUUGUAUAGCAUUAAUGUGAUCAUCAACCACAUUUUUAGUCAUGACAAAGUCUUCGAAAAGGUUCUCAACAGAGGAUGUCAUUUUCUGGACAAGCGUCACAACAUUAGGAGAAACGUUUUCAUGAGAUGCUUGUUUUAUGUAUUCAAAAGACAUAUGUAAUUGCUGCUGUAGCUCGACAUCACUGAGAAUGGACUCAAGUGAAUUUUUUAAUAGGCUUUCAAGGUUAUGCAAGGCUUCUCUUACAGCAACAUCGCUUGUGGAACAGGUUGCUUUUGGCGAGGACUCUGGACUUCCCAACAGGAUGCUAUCAAGUUCAGCAAAAGGGUCAUCAUCUGAUCCAUCUUCAUGUUUGCUAAGAUCUGUUAUUGGUGCAUUUUCUUUUUCUUGCUCUGGUUCACUUAUCAGAUCAUUGGUUUCAGGAACAAUGAUUUGUUCUCCUUGUAUGUUUGGUUUUUCUUCUGGAUUCUUGGUCUCAUCACAAUUGUCUGGCCUAUCGUAGUUGUUUACACUUGACUUGUUAUCAGAACUUUUUUCAACAGUUGACACUGGAGAUAAAUGCAAUGCAGCUUCAGAUUCAAUUGGUCUUCCUUCAUUUCCAGUGCUUUUGAACUGCACAAUGAAAAAGCAUUUAUCAAGACAAGAGCAAGUAUCUUCUAGAAAUUCAAUAACCAUAUUAUGUACUUUUAUUUGUUAGGAUUGUUCACAAGUCAUGAUUGCUUGUAUGUAUCUGCAUUCCAAUUUUAAUUUAAGGCUCACGAGAGAUAACAGACUAGAUUCUUCAAAUUUCUCUUUGAUAAAUGCCUGCAUAGGUUACUAUGAAAUCAACAUUUCAUUCUUAAUUCAUGCCGUGUCUUAAGAAUUGGGGGAAUAAUGGAAAGAAGAGGUAUAAUUUAAAAAAAAAAUGUAAUUGUUGGUUUUAAUUUAUGUUUUACUUCGACGUGUGAUGGAGCGAUAUCGGACAGAUAAAAAAGACUUACACUUAGUUUUCAUUGAUUUGGAGAACUAUUAUUAUCUUAUUGUUCCUUUGACAAAGUCGCAAAUAGAUGAUCCCAUUAUUUUGAAAAAGACAUUUUUUUCAAAUAUGGAUAAUGUAAAGACUAACUCAUACAUAAAAAAAUAGUUACAAAAACUAAAACAAAGCAGCAAUCAUCAAAAACAAAAAUUGCUUGAUUUGAAGGGGUGAAAAACUAUAUUUUACUAAGGAAAUACAGAUGACAUCAGAGCUGUAAAUUGUAUAUUUACUAUAGAUUCUUCAGUAGGCUUGGUAACUUGGGAUAUUUAAUAAGCUUUCAUUUUCCGUUUCUUAGCAUCGUUAUUAAGACACUAUUUGAAAAGAGUAAGAGGAUGAUUGUGAUAUCAUUAGCAGGGAUAUAGAGCUCGAAGGUCCAAGUAUUUACCUUAAUUGCUUUAUUGAAAGACGAUUCUACAUCAGAGCAUCCUUCAGAAGAAUCCCCCUUCUCAAAUUGUUCUUGUUUGUGUGAAGAAGUUUCGGUUUCCUCUCCAGACAUUGUACAAUUCUCAUAAAGAAUCUUAGAUUUCACCAUUUGUUUUGAAUUAUCAUCAUCAUCAUCAUCCAAAUUUUCUUUCUCUUGAGGAUUUUCAUGUACCUGAGUAUCUUUAGAGACUAGAAAAAAAGAAAUGCUGAGUUUGAUAGAAAAAAAAAUGAAUAUCUAAUUGAAGAAAAACAAAUAGAUGUAAUAUUGAAGUUUUGAAUUGUAAAAAAAACAACAAAAGAAAUAUAACAUACAACAUCUGUGAAAGAAUUUAAAAAGUUUCAUACCAAUUAAACAGUCAUAUGAACGGUGACAGUUUUCAUUCAAGUCCAAUUCUUGGUUCUGUAUGCCAGUGCCUUCCUUGUCAUCACCUAUUUCAUUUGAUUCAAUGUCAAUGCAUUCUCCCUCAUCACAGCCUUCAACUGAUCUCUCAAAUUGAAUUUCUUGGUACAACUCUAAUUCCAAGUCCUUGUCUAAAUUCCCAGUGCCUAAAACAAUCUGACUUUCUGACUUUCAAGUGUAGUAAUGUUAAUGAUCCCAGACCAUCAAAAAGGGUUUCUAACAUUGAUUUAGUUACUACACUGCACGUAGAAACCCGGAGUUCAGUAAGUGAUCUCAAGUGAGACAAUUCAAUCGGUAGAUUUGUUAGAUUUAAAUCUUCUAGAUUCAACAACCUAAGGUUGUUCAUGUCACCGAUUGAUGGGUGCAAUAUUUCUAUUCCGGUUUUGCUUAAAUCCAACCCUUUUAUUGAAUCUGAAGACAAUGAAAAUUCCUUCAGAUUCUUGCAGCCUUUGACACUGAAGUAUUUUAGAGAUGUUAAAUGCUUCUCACCCAUAAGACUUUCCAGUUUUAUGCACCUAUCCAGUAGCAAAGUAUGAAGUGUGUCCUUAGAAAAAGCAGAAGGUCGAAGUUCACAUAAUUCUUCACAACCGGAAAGGCGUAACUGUUUGAGUUUCAACGCCCCAGACAAAUCAGGGAGGUGGCGUAACUGUUUGCAUUCACUUAGGUCGAUUGCCUCUAGAUUCACAAGUUCCUGUACCAAUUCAAAAGGACACAUCAAAGGUUAAGAAUUCAUUUUCACACCAUGCAAGGGAAAAAAACACAACUGCAUGGGACUCACAUUAUUAAACCAUUUUUCUAAUUUUCAUUUGCAUAAAAAACGAAGAAAGAAUCCCAUAAUUCAAAUGAAUUAGUUUAAGUACACAAACACGCACCUGCAUCCCGUACCAAAGAUGUUCAAUGUUGCUGUGCGGCAAACAAAUCUGAAUCAGCUGCUCAGCAUGAAAAGGCUCUGGAAGAGACUUCAGGGGAUACCCAUUUCACUCAAGGUAUUUCAAUUUGUCAAAAAAUGGCAUAAUAUUUUCAGGAAGAUGCACAGUGCCCAAUUUCUUCUUACCCUUGGGGAUGUGGAAUUUAAGGAAUCUUAAUUUAUGCAUCAAUUUGAAUGCGUCAGCUUGAACAUGUAUAUCUACUUUUUGAGACAAAUCAAAUAUUAUUCCUUCAAUUGCAUCACUCCCCUGAUAAAUUGAAAGAAAUCACUACAUUGCCACAACAAAUCAACAGUAAUUUUUUACUUAGAAAAUGUUAACACUCCAUACCUUGUUAUUUCCAAGUACAUCGCAAAUGUCUUUAGCAUCCCUCAGUCGGCUACGCUUUCCUCGGUCAUUAUAUUCUUCUCUUACUAUAUCAAAGGCCAUCUUUUGUAGUAAGUCGUGCAUUUGUAUUCUGUCGUUGUUUGAGAUGGUUAUAAGAGUUUUAUCUUCGAGGAUUUCUAUCCCACUAGUUGCAUUGAAACCAAAGGCAUCUAGUAUCCUUGUGACGAUAUCUUUGUUUUCACCUUUGAAAAAGAAUGCAAUGUCUAGAAACAUUUCCUUCUGUCGCCAUGAUAAUCCAUUAUAACUUGUUCUUAGCACUUUUUGAAUAUCGGGGAAGGCUUCUCCUUUGUUCUCAUACAAAUUUAACUCGGAUUCCCAGAAUUCUUGUUUUCUGGAAUGAAAAUGUGAACCCAAAACUUCUAAAGCUAAUGGAACACCUCCUGCACAUUCAACUGCCCUUUCAGAGACACGCUCGUAACCUUUUAAAGGAUGGUCUUGCUUGAAGGCUCUUAAGCUAAAAAGCUUUAGAGAGUCUCUAAGCUUCCAUGUUUUGACCUCAUAUAUCUCAUCAACUUUUCCACCAAGUGUAUGCCUGUCUCGCGUUGUUAUAAUGAGUCUACUGUUAGGUCCAAGGUCACCAAGUACGCGACACAAAUCAUCUAACUGUGUCGUAUUAUUAACAUCAUCAAGAACAAUGAAAACUUUUUUGCGAAAGAGCCUCCUCGUGAUGAAUGUGUGAAGUCCGUGAACAUCAGACGCUGUAAUUUCUCGCUUCAGUAGCUCACGAAGAAGCUGAUUACAAACAUAUAUUGGUCCAAACUUUUCCGAGUCUUCGCUUAUCUUUUCCAAGAAGCAUACAUUGUCAUAAUGGGCAAAGUUCUUGGAAAACAUCUGUUUUGCUAUGGUUGUCUUUCCUAUUCCACUCAUGCCCCAAAUUCCAAUUCUUGGUAUUGUUUUCAAUAAUAAUUCAAUAUGUUCACUGUUCUCAUCAACUUUAACAAUAUCUUUCAGUUCAUUAGGGUACAUGAGGGCCAACUUCUGCAAAACAUCUUCCACAAUAUUGCCAAUGACUUGAGUAUCAUCUCUAGAAAAAUAAAGAAAGAAAGAAUAAACAAAUUAAACUUACAAGAAAAUUUCAAAUUUGGUAAGUUCCUAAAAUUCUAUAACAGGAUCAACCCAUCUACCAGAUCAUUGUGUUGGUGAACUGAUUAUGAUUCGACUGGACCUGAACAAGGAGACUAGCCCUUGACAUGUAGCAAGACAACUGUUUAUCUAUAUCUAUUAUAUCAUCAACAUCCAGAAUCAUCAUAUAUCAUUUGUUCAUCACAAAGUCAGCAUACAAUAUAACUAUGUACAGUUUCAAAAGUUACUUAGGAGUAUAUGUAAACAUAAGAAUUAAUAUGAGUUUAGAGGAAUUAAAUGGAAUACUUACCGAUAUUUGCGAGAGUCCCAUCCAGAUAUAUUGGCAGCCAAAUUGAGAGCAGCUUUCCACUCAGACACUUUGUCUACAUGAGAUUUACUGUGGGCAAGUUCUCUCUCAAAUCUUGCAAAUGCCAUCUGGUAACUCUCCUUCUGAUGACGUACAUGUGAUGGAUCUAUGUUAUAGAACACAGGUAUAACUACAUGUCCAUUAAGUUUUCUGCAUUGAAGUAUGUGGACGAGUUCAUCCAAGCACCACUUUGAAGUUGCAUAGUCUUUUGAGAAAACUACAAGAGACAUAUGUGAGUCAUCAAUUGCUUUGGUAAGAGCAGGUCCAACCUCAUCACCUUUAACAAGAUUGUAAUCAAUGUAUGAUUCGAUACUUCUAUCGCUAAGAGCUUGAUGAAGCUGGGCAGUGAAGUUUGUACGUGUAUCCUCUCCCCUAAAGCUAAUGAAUACAUCGUACUUUUUGUGAGAGAUACGCAUAUCUCAGAUACUCAAUUAGCUAUCACUACUUUAACCACUUUUUGUUUUUUUUUUUUUUUUUUUAUGUUCUCUCUUUGCUCUAAACAAAGGGAAGGGAAGAUACCAUAGUGAAGGGGUUUAUACAGAUGAUAAAAGACUUUAUAUGCAACUGUGUCAAACCUCUUGAGAGAGGGUUUUGUCGCCUAUUGUGAUCCUACCUAACACGAAGUAUUAAUCUCUACAUUGCUUUCCGGCAUACUAGUUAACACUAAAAAAAGAGUUCAAGAUUGUUGACCAUAAAAUAAAGCAGGGACCACUCGGGUAACGAGAGACGAGAAACACAAACAUGUGGGUACUACAGAUUUAUUAAAUUUUCGUACAUGUGCAAAGAAAAAUCAACAAAAGAAACUGGUUUUGUUUUCUUGCUUUUCAAGAUUACCCCUUUUCCACUCUUAAGUCAAUGCUUCUGCUGUAGUGUGGACUGCGUCCAUCAUAGAUAUAUUAAAGAUAUGGAGCAUUAUCCACCACCCAAUUUAAAGAAUAGUAGUAAAAUAAUAUCACUCUCCUUUGUUUAAACUACAAUAAAUUAAAUUAUUAUAGGUUAACACACCCCAAGAACCCCUCCACUCCCAACUUGUCAAGACUCAAGACUAUUGGUAAAAGAUGCAUGGUAGUUGUUCUGCUACUACUAUUCUUUAAUAGUAGUUCCCUUUCCUAGACAAAGAGAAGGAAGAUAAAAACCGGUAGAGAAGGGGAAAAAUAUAUGUGUUGGUCCCCCACCAAAACCUUUCUAAAACAAAAAUCAACUUUUUAGGUUCAUCGAAUAAAUGAUGUAUUUGGUCAAUAAUAUAGACUAAAUACAUCAUUUAUUGAAUGAAUCUAAAACGUUGAUUUUUGUUUAUAAUACUGCAACUAUAUCGGUUUAAUUCCCACUUUCAGGGUCAUGCCAAUAGAGGAAAAAAAAAAAAAAAAGGACAAUUACUUGUGAAUAUUGAUGCAACUCAAAUAUGUAUAUAUCAAGUACAAAUAAAAAUUUGAGUUUUAGGACGAGAAGAAAGAGAAAUUUGACAAUGAAAAUUUGGUUCCCGAUACUCGAUAGACCUUCUAUUACUAAGAGGAGUAAACACUGUUCUGAAAGAACCAACAAAUCCUACAAGAUUGAAGAGGAUUUUAGGUACAGUCAAAUCUAAGAGAUGUGGUCAAUAGGACACAAUAAAAGAACAUGUAACGAUAAUAAUUGAAGGGGAAGUCAUCAGGUCACAUGCUCACCCAGUUUUUUUAUCUUUUUAAUUUCUAAAUUUUUUUGAUAUCCAAACACGUCAUGGAUGCUCAAAUUGAAGAAAAAACCGUGUGAUGUACUACGAAAUUGGAAAUGGGGACUAAAAUUGUUUAAAAAUAAAUAAAUAGGCCAAAGUCGCACACGAUUAGGAAAAUAAGGGGAGCAAAAGUCUAAUUGAGCCAAAAAAUUAUAUGAUAGAAGAGGUAUCCAUUAUAGUAAAUAAUAAUCCAUAAAUUGUGAAGGCUUGUUUGAUUUUGUUGACACAAGAGGUAUCCAUUUAGUCUAGCCAAUAACAUUUAGUUCAUUCAUAGCCGUUGUGGGAGUGGGACUCACCACACACAUUUGAAUCCAACAUCAAUACUUCUCAGCUACUGCUACUUCCAUAGUUGUCUGCAAAAUCUACUCUGAAACCUUCCCAUUUAUCUUUCAUCUUCUGCUGCUUUGACAGGGCAGCAUCAUACGAAGUUUUAGACUUCUUAAUACUCGACAUUAGCUCUUUGCUUUCAGUAAUCUUAUUUUUAGCCUCAUCUUCCAAUUUCUUCUUUUCAUCUUCGUGUCUUUCCAUGCUUUCCUUUAACUUGAUUUUUUCCAACUCAAUACUGUUCUUUUGCUCAACAAGUAUUCUAAUUUUUUCCUCCACCUUUUCACCCUCUUCCACGAGACGCUUGGCUUCAUCCUCAAACUGACUCUUUUCUUUCAUCAUUGAUUUCUUCUGUUUCUUACCAUCUCUCAUUAGCUGCACAAGCUUUUCUCUUUUUCGCAAAGCAUUAAUGUGAUCCUCAACCACAUUUUUAGUCAUGACAAAGUUUUUGGAAAGGUUCUGAAUAAAGGAUGUCAUUUUCUGGACAAGCUUCACAACGUUUGGAGAAACUUUUUCAUUGGUUGCUAGUUUUAUGCAUUCCAAUGACGUGUGUAAUUGUUGUUGUAGCUCUACGUCAUAGAGAAUGGACUCUAGUGAAUUUUCAAAUAGGCAUUCAAGGUUGUGCAAAGCUUCUUUUACAGCAACAUCAUCACUUGUGGAACAGGUUACUUUUGGCGGAGACUCUGGACUUCCCAGCAGGAUGCUCUCAAGUUCAGCAAAAGGGUCCUCAUCUGAUUCAUCUUCAAAGUUUCUUAGAUCCAUUGGUGAAUUUUCUUUACUUAUUGGAUCAGUGGUGUCGGGAACAAUAACCUGUCCUUGUAUAUUUGGUUUUCCUUCUGAUUGCUUGGUCUCAUCAAAAUUGUCUUUCCCAUCAUAGUUGUUUUCACUUGACUUGUUAUCAGAAGUGUUGCCUUCAAACGCUGACAUUACCGGCAGAUACAAUCCAGCUUCAGAUUCAGUUGGUCUUCCUUCAUUUCCUUUGCUUUCGAACUGCACAAUGAAAAAGCAUUAGUCAAGGGCUCAAGGCAAGAGGAGUGGGUGUACUAUAGGAAUUAAAUUAUAACUGUAUUAUGUUUUAUUAGAUACAAUGUUAGUCAUACAGUCAUACUGGUUAGUUGGACUAAUUAGUUAGACUAGUUAGUUGUUCUCAUUUUCUAUAUACUUAUCUUUACUUUACUCUCAUCUAUGAUUUCUAUCAAGAAUAGUAACAUGUACUUUUAUUUGUUAGGAUUCAUCAUGAUAGCUUGUCUAUAUUUGUGUUCUAGUUUUGUUAUAAUGUUCAUAAGAGAUAGGAGACCAGAUUCCUUUUUUAUUUGUGUAAAGUAAGGCCGUCUUUGAAGAAUUUGCAAACAGUACCCACAAGCUAAUUUUUACUCCACUUGCAAAUUUACGACUGUGGCUAAUUUUCAUGCGAUGUUUGGUAAAUUACCCACAAUUCUUAAAGGAAACUUAGAAAAAACCUUUGUCUAAUGAUAGGAGGUAACUCUUCAACUUUCUUUUUGAGAAAUGCCUUGUAUAUUGUUGGUUAUUAUGAAAUAAUUUCAUUCUUAAUGCCUGCAGUGUCUUAGGAAUUGGGUGAAUAAUGGAAAAAAUGAGGACUAAUAUGGAGAUAUCAUUAAAAUACACCUAGGAAAUCUUAGACCUAGACAUAGGGUAAUAUUGAAUGAUGCAGUAUUACAAAACUAUUUCAUUAUUACAGCAAUCUUAUGAACUCAAAAGAGGAAGGUGGAUAACAAUUGAUGGAGCAUUUAUAAAGAAUAAUUUACUCUCAUUAUCGUAGAUGCCUUAAAUUCCUAGUCUGAGUCUUAGGGUCUGUUUGGGAGGAGGUUUUUCAGGGUUUUGGAGGGCUAAGUCUAUAUAUUUUGAAAUUAAUUUGAUAUUUUUAAAAAUUAAAAACAUGAUAAAUGAUCAUAUAGUACUUCAAUCGCAUUAAUUUCUUUUAAAAAUAUUUUAUAGGUCCGUAUUUUAAAAAUGAAAAGCUUGCCCUCCUCACCAAAACCCUCCGUCCAAAUCCUCAUGAUUCCUUUACCAAGUUUAUUGAUUAUUAUUUACUUUUACUUUGCAUUCUGAUUCCAUUGAUUCGUCUCCUUUUGACCCGCACAAUCUAAUAAUUAUAUUGACAAAAAUGACAGCUGAAAAUGAUAUGAUAUAAUUACAAAAUGUGAUGUUAUAUUUUUGCAUAUUUUGACACUUUUUCCUAUAAAAAUGACAAAGUUUGUCCAAAUAAAAGUAGAGACUUACGACUUUUGCGGAAUUUGUAAUAUUCUCCUCAUGACUGGUUCCAGCAUUGGUAUUGGUUUCGUUGUUAGAAGAUCUGAUGCUCUUUUCCACAUUAAAGAAGUGACUUUCAAGUUCAACUGAUUCUAGUUUAACCAUUGCUGAUCUUUGUUCUGUGACAUAAGCAACGAAAAUUAUAAGUAGGUGAAAACAUAAAUUCCGUAAAAAAAAAAAAAAAAAAAAAGCAAAAGAGAAGGUGAAGUGUUGGGAUUAGAAUCAGUUGAUUUCUCCUACUUAUAAUUUAUCACUGGUUCAACCAGCUCUGAGUCUAAUUCUGUGAUUAAAAACAAUGAAAGUGAAAAUUUGGCCAAAAGACCCGGUGUUCAAUUUACAAAAUAAUAAGAACUACCUAGCUAGUGAUUAGUUAAUGAUAAUGAGAUAAAAAAAGGACUCAAUUUCAAUUUAAUGAAGUAGUAGGAAACUAUGAAUAAGAAUAGCAUAGCAUAUAUGAUGAGACUAGGGAAAGAGAGUAAUUAAGAAGAGAAUGUAUUGUCAAAAAUGAAGUUGCAAACCUUGAACAAUUGGCUUCAAGGUUAUCCUACGUCCUGAUUCUAAUUCCACCGCCUUCUUCAACUCUUCUUUCUUUUGUGAAUCCAAUUCCGGCAAAACACUCUCCAAUUCUUGAACACUUACUAGUCGUACCCCACACUCUUUAAUACCAACUGAACCAUCAACUUCCCGGCCAGUAUCGUUUGUAACAUAGAACUCGAAACAAAUCUCGGGUUGAUAAAAUUUGAGAAUACUGUCACAAUGGAAUGGAUCAUACCACACAUAAACAUGAUCCGAGUUCAGUUCUGUGACAUCAGUAUUUAGCCAGGUAGCUUUUAUACCUUCUUCUCCCAAGUUGCAUUGACACUUUAUCCUAGCUCCUCCACCCUUCAUUCCAUUUCCACCUGCUGGAGAAAGAACCACUGAGUAUAUGAAUCCCAGCAAGUUGGAACGAUCAGGAAGCAAUGUAAUGGUAAUGGAAGAGUCAGAAGCUGUUAGACAUUGGAAUAGCCUCGGGAUACUUGUUCCUAGUUGACAAGCAUCAACACUGUUAUAGUUGUAGCUGCGGACGGCCACACGGAGUCUUCUUACAGACACAUUAUGAAACACAGCACUCAUCAUUGUUAAAUUGAGACUUUCCAUUAUAAGUCCAAGUGAAUGUCCGUCCAAAUUCAAGCUGUUGCUGAAUGAAAUAUGUUUGGUUUUUCCGAUCAUCUUUGUUGCUAAUUUUUUUAGAUUUGACACUGAAACCAGCGAUGUGCAGUUAACUGCAUUUAACAGUGUGAUUAGAGGUGGAAGCUCUGGUAUGCACUCAAGCUUCCUGCAAUUCACCAAAGACAAAAUUUCCAGUUCUUCAAGUUUCUUAAUGCUUUGAGGCAACAUUUUCAUGUUGCUUCCAUCAAGGUUUAAUUCCAUUAACUUUGAUGCAACGUGGACGUUGUUGGGGAGUUCAAACUGGUUUAUAAAAUCCUUCAUAUGUAGUAUUUGUAGGGAUUGUAAGCCAUCAAACAACUCAUGUAGCUGUUUUUUCUCAACUAUUAGUCUACUGCCAGAAAUCUUCAAUUCCCUAAUAGAUCUCACACUAGAUAACUCCUUCGGAAUACGGUUGAGUCUUAAACUCUCUAGAUUAAGUUGUUUGAGUUUUUGAAGACGUCCAAUUGAUAGGUCCAGUGUUUUGAUUCCUGUACUGCUUAAAUCCAAGUUUUCAAUUAAAUCCGAGGACACUGCAAAUUCCUCCAGACUUUUGCACCCAUCCACACUGAUCUUCUCCAAAAAAUUUAAAUGUUUUUCACCUCUAACCCUCCUAACCUUUGUACACCUAUCCAGUAUCAAAGUAACAAGUGUAUCUGCGCAUAAAACAGAUGGAUGAAGAUCAACCAGACUCUCACAACCAGAAAGAUUAACCCAUUUCAGACUUGACGCCUUAGAAAAAUUCGGAAGCUUUUCAAAUUGCUUGCAUUCACUAAGGUCAAUUCCCUCUAAUUUACCCAGUUCCUGUGAAUUUCAAAACAACGUAUUAAGAUGCAAACUCUAAAAACAAAACAUGUGAUUACACGUGUAUGUAUUACCUUCGUCCCCUGCCACAGUUGUUUAACAUUGCUGUGCGGCAUACGGAUCUCAACAAGAAACUUGGCAUAAAAAUGUUGUGGAAGAGAUUCAAAAGGGUAUCCAUUCCACUCAAAAUACCUCAGUUUAUUUGAAAAUGGCUCAAGAAAUUUGGGAAGGUUGAGGUAUGUGUUAGUACAUCUCUGCAGGUUAGAGGGUGCAUGGAAUUUAAGAAUUCUUAAGGCUUUCAUCUUGGUGAAUGUGUCGGCACUUAAAGGCAAAUCAUUAUUUUGUGACAAAUCCAAUGUUAUGCCUUCAAUUGAGCUACUCCCCUGACAAGAGAAGAAAGUAAAUGUAUCCAAUCAAUUAGCUACAUUAACUAAUUUGUAUUAGAAAUUUAGCUAUGUUGAAAAGUGUAUGUUUUUCAUUCCCUUACCUUGUUUUCUUCAAUAACUGCACGAGCUUUACUCCCACUCAGUCGGGUAUGUGCUGCCGGGUCCUCGCCACAAUCAUUACAUAUUAUGUCCGAACCCAUUUUUUGCAGUAAGUCAUGCAUUUGUAUUGUUUGGUUAUUUGAGAUAGUUAUCAAAGCCUUGUCUUUGAGGACUACUAUUCCGCUAUUUGGUUCGAAACCACAAGCAUCUAGUAUCUUUGUGACAGACUCUUUCUUUUCUCCUAUGAAGAAGAAUGCAAUGUCUAGAAAUAUCUUCUUCUCUAGUGCAUCUAGUUCAUCGUAACUCACUUUUAAAACUUUGUGCAAUUUGUCAUCACGAUGAUCAUCGAGUUUCUUAAAAGAACUUUCCCAAAAUGCAAUAUCUCUUGUACGAAGAUGUAAAGCCAAAAGUUUAAGGGCAAGCGGAACGCCCCCUGCAUAAGUGAUUGCCCUUUGCAAAAGAUGCUCAUACUUCUCUCGGGGAUUACUUGGCUCAAAGGCUUCUAGGCAAAAAAGCUCUAGAGAUUUUGGAUAUUCCCACUGCUUGACCUCAUAUAUCCAAUCAACUCUUCCACUCAGCAACUGUCUGUCUCUCGUUGUUAUAAUGAGUCUACUAUCUUUAUUUAGCUCGCCGUAAUCUCUGCACAAAUAUUCAAACUGAUCUAAGCUGUCCAUAUUAUCAAGUACAAUCAAAACUUUUCUACUUCUCAGCCUCCUCAUAUGAAAUGCAGAUCCUACAUUAGAUGGGGAAAUUUCUUCCUUUAGUAGCUCAGAGAAAAGCUUACUAAGUGAAUAUUCUUUUGCAUUAGCAAAGCAGACAUGAUCAUAUUGGGCAAACAGCUUGGCAAACAAGACUUUAGCAAUGAUUGUUUUUCCCAUUCCACCCAUACCCCAAAUUCCAAGUCUUGGAAAACGUUCCACCAAUGAUUCAACCUGUUCACAGUUUUUUUCGUUUCUCACUACACCUUCUAGUUCAUUAGGGUACCUCAGUUGUAGCUUUUGCAAUACAUCAUUCACAAUUUUGUCGAUGAGGAUAGAUUCUUCCCUAGCAUAACAUAAAUAAAUAAAAGAAUAAACCACAGAAAGAAAGAAAAAAAUAAUUAAACUAAUCAUCAUAAACAAGAUUCUAACAAACGGUUGAUUUCUGCAGUGCUCCUUACGGUUUUUUCCUGUUUUACCAAAGUGAACAAAAAUCAUGGAAACAGCCCCAACAAAAUGUCGUCACGCCGCGGAAAAACUUAAUUUCCCAUUGUUUCUACCCUAUUUCGUAAUUUAAAUUCUUUUCAUAACUUAUUGAUGAAUUUGUUUCUUCUAAAAACCAAAUUAACCACUAAUAAAUCUAGGUUUUAAUGUUUUUAGAAGAAACAAUUAUGAAAGGAAUGACAAUUAUGAACUUACGAAGAAACAAUAAGAAAUUGAGUCAUUAAACAUUAUAGGAUAGCACAAAUACUUUUGAUAAGAUUUGUGCAUUGUUGUGAUUAACUCACACCACAACGACCGCAAUAUGUAAUGCAGCAUCCUUAACAGCCGAAAUCACAAAAUACAUAACGCUACCACGACCUUGACCGUUGUUAAAACCUUGAUUCAUAAAUAUCUGAAACAAAAUCAUAAAACACUGCUUACUUGUGGGUUUGAGUGUGCCAUCCAGAUAUAGUGGCUGCUUCAGCCAAGGCAACUUUCCAGUUAAGCACUUUAAGAUCAUUGGUCCCAAGAUCUCGCUCAUGUUUUGCGAAUGCAUUCUCAUAACUGCCAGUCUGAUUUCUUAUGUCAGAUGGAUCUGUUUUAUAGAAAACAGGUAUAACAACUUGACCUUUGACUUUUCUGCAUUCCAGUACUUUGACCAGUUCUUCCAAACACCAUGUUGAGGUAGCAAAAUUUUCAGAGAAAACAACGAUGGAAACAUGUGAUUCCUCAAUUGCUUUGGCAAGAGUUGGCCAAAUAUCUUCUCCUCUUUCAAGCAGGCUAUCCACGUAUGUUUUGAUUGAUUUAUGAAUCAGAGCAGCGUGAAGAUGGCUAGUGAUACCGUAGCGAGUGUCCUCGCCUCUAAAGCUAAGAAACACAUCGUGCUUCUUGCUAGAAUAUGACAUAUAUAUGCUAUAUAGCUAUAUACCCUUGCUUAGACGCUGCUUUUCUCUAUUGAAAGUUGUUUGGGUUGAAAAUGUGACUAUUAUGUGUUCCUUCAUCUUCCUCCAUUACCCUUAAUUCUUUAAUAACAACUCAACUUUUUAUAAUAAGUCCAUUCUAUGGUGUACAAGUGAGACAUGUUUUGCAUCUUGCACAAAUCGAUAUCUACCAUUGGAUCAAUAAGUCACCAUUGAAUCAUUCUGUGUCAUGCACAAAUUGAUUUCUACAAAUUUAAGUAUAAUAAUGUAUUAAAAUAUAGAAAAAUAAAAACAUAGUCAACUACAAACACCCCAAAAACAAAAUUACAAAAACACACCAAAACUAGUACAUGUAACAAAUACAAAUAUCAACAAAAUUCCACAACAAGAAUUGAGAAUAUCCUCAAAAAUACUCUUCCACUUCCAAACUUUAAUAAGGUGUAAGUUAACAACUAACACUUUAACUAAAAACUCAAGUACUCCCUCCGGUCAUUAUUAUAAGCAAAACUCCACUUUUUAGAUACAUUAAAUAGUUAAUGUAUCUAGUCUUUAUCAUAGAUUAAAUACAUUAAUUAUUUAAUGUAUCUAAAAAGUAAAGUUUUGCUUAUAAUAGUGACCGGAUGGAGUAUUUCUUUUCAAACUAGUUUAAAUUAAAGGAUAAUAAAGUAAUUUAAUUCUUUAAUACAUACAAUUAAUUAAUUUGCAACUUCCCAUCAUGCUUCUUAAAAAUUACACUUCAAUAUUUUCAAAUACUGUUCAUUUUAGAUGUUUAAUGUGCUACAAAUUUUUCAGGAGAACCUGUUGACUUAUCUUUUGGUCAAACUCUACGAAUCGGAUGCUUAACACACAAAAAAACAUUCUCUAUUUUUUGUAUUUAAUUCCUGAAUAUAUAAGAAAAGUGUAGCAAUAAUUGAUUCCUAACUUGUAUCAAUGAAGCAAGCAUACCAAUUAAGAACCCGAGCAACUAGUGCGAGAAAAUCAACAAGUAGCAGAGCAAGAGAAGAGAAGCAACGAAUUUCAUGCAAUUAGAGAGAGAGAGAGAGAGAGAGAGAGAUUAACCUCUCUGUGAGCUUCCAUGAGAAUGAUGAUUGCAGAGCUGAGCAAGAGAAACGACAAUGGCGCGAAUGCAGAGCGAGGGAAACGAAAGCGUUUGCGGUGUUUUUAUGUGAAAAAGAUUUACAAAAAUACCCUCUAUAUUAAUGCAUUAUUAUACUUCAAUUUCGACGCGAAGACUUAGGGUCGUCGCUUAAAAUUUAUCAUAACAUUAAUCAAAGUCAAUGAAAACUUUAUAAUAAAAAAUUGAAUUAAUUUUUAGGCUUAAUUGCACUUUUCUCCCAUAUGGUCUUCCAAUUGUGCGAUUUUGCACCCUAUAGUUUUAAACGAGCGAUUUUGCCCCCUAUAGUUUUCCCCAUUUCUGAUUUUAUGGUCCCCAUGACAUUUAGUGCUGGUUUUUUUAUCAAUUAAUGUGUGCCACGUGUGUAAUUCCAUUUUAAAAAAAAUAAAAAAUAGUAUUUUUCAGAUUUUGAGAGAAGGAGCACAUGAUUUUUCAGAUUUUAAGAAGAAAUAUCACGUGCCUCCUUCUCUCAAAAUCUGAAAAAUACCAUUUUUUUUUUAUUUUUAAAAAAAUGGAAUUACACAUGUGGCACACAUUAAUUGAUAAAAAAACAGACAUUUCAGCACUAAAUGUCAUGGGGAUCAUAAAAUCAGAAAGGGGGAAAACUAUAGGGGGCAAAAUCGCUCGUUUAAAACUAUGGGAUGCAAAAUCGCACAAUUGGCAAACUAUAGGGAAGAAAAGUGCAAUUAAGCCUAAUUUUUAAUGCAAAAAUAUUGUUUUUUACUGCAACCACCCUUUAAGUAAAAUAAAGCCAUGUGAAGGAGACAACAUAUUGACUUUUGAAUGGAGAAAAAGGAGAUUAAAAUUUAAAAUUUAGGUUGUUUAGUAUUUUUCAAAUAAAGUAAGAUAAAAGACACCUAAAGUACACUACUUUAUUGUUAAAUGUCGUACUCGUUAAGAAAUCAAAUAAUGAAUGGUACAUGUGCAUUGAUUAUACAACGUAAUGCGUUUUAGAUUCAAAAAUAGAGGGGCAAAAAAAAUGAUGAAGAAAGUCUUUAAAUACGAAACUGAGAAUAUGCCUAAAAUCUAAAUGGAUACAUUAUUGUAAACCUAAAGAAAAUGUAGAUCAUACCAUCCAUCUCAAGGAAAUUUCUAACAAAUCAAAAAAUAUAAUAUGUGUCUCAACCAGGAAAAAAAAAUGUAAUGUUUGGAAUCCACACGAAUAAGUUCCUCGGAUUUUACUUAAUCGAAAGAGGGAUUGAAGCAAAUUCGGAUAAAUGCAGAGCUUUCAUUGAGAUACCUACUCCAAAGAAAUCAAUCUAAAUGUUGGAAGACGUCUAAUAUGCCCCUCCUUUCUACAGGUUGUUGAGGAAGGAAUCUGCAUCUGAAUGGUCUGAAGAAUGCGAAUUUGAAGCGACUCUAGCCCGACUUAAACAUGCCCUAUCUCAAAUACCAAUUCUCUAAUGAUCCAAAAAGGGAGAGAUAAUGUUCAUAUAUCUAUCAAUUUCGGCAAAAGCAAUCAAUGAGCCUUGAUUAGAGAGAGCGACAGAGGUCAAAAACUCAUCUAUUUCACCAACAAAGCAUUACAAGGACCUGAAAUACGGUAUAUCAAAAUAGAAAAGUAGUCCUCACCCUAGUGAUGACCACAAGACAAUCAUACAAAAACUCAAAGAAAAACACAAUCUUACAAAAAUCUUUUCAUUCACUCUAAUAUUACUAAUAAUCAUUAUGGUUGAUGAUUAUUAACAAUCUUUCUUCUAACUAGUUACCCGCACUUGCCUUCAAGACAAUUAGUUAAAAGACAUGUUUGUAUAUUCACAAAUUUAUAAAACUAAAAUGAGUGAUGAUCAUAUAUGAGGGAAGACCCUUUAUUUCAAGUGUUGCUUUGUGGUGAUGUGGUCUUAGUUUUGUUAUCUUUACUCUUGAAUUUGUAUUGAAUAUGUUCAGUUUGUUAUAGAAACUGAAUUUGAGAUAUGUGACGGUGCAUAUCUAUUAUGAACGUGUUUUUUGAUAGGGGUGUUCAAAACCGAACCAACCUAAUAGAAAAACCUCAAAUCAAAUCAAUCCAAAUCGAAACCGCAAAAAACUGCAUUUGGUUCGGAUGAAUUCGGAUGACUUUUGCACUGAAUCGUGCGGUUUCGUUCGGUUUUUGGUUUGCAUCUUAGCAACCAAACCAAACCAAACCAAACCGCAAGAAUAAUGAAUAUUACUGAAACAUGUACUAGCCCAAUUACAUAACCCAAGAAUAAUCUCUUUUGAUUCGAUUUUUCCAUUGUUGCAUGCUUAUGUUUCUUCUUAAUUUUACCUAUUUUUGAUAUAAGUUUUACCUAAUAUUUUAUCAUAUAAACAACAAAACGAAAUGUCCUAUGUUUAUUUUGAAACAAGUUGGCAAUAUUAGAGUUAAUGUAAUAUUUUUUUAUCUUGCGAUAAAGCGCACAUACCGAACCAAUCCAAACCGCAUUGCUUUGGUUUGGUUUGAUUUUGGAUGACUUUUUAAAAAUCAACUUAACCAAACUAAACCGCAUGUUUUUUUAUCUCGCAGUUUGGAUUACUUUUAUGCUCAAAACCGAACCAAGCCGUACCGCGAACACCUCUGUUUCUUGAUGUUAUGCAUAGUUGGGUGCUUAAUUCAUAGUUCGUUGGUGCUAAAAACAUAAAGCACAUCAAUGCUUUCUAGAAUCCGUACAUGGAGAUGAGGUAGUUUCAUGCGAUGACGUCGAAGUAGAAAUCGUACCGGGUCAUUCUAAUGAUCUUGAUGCGGACUUCCCUGCUAAAUAGUUUAUGAGAUGAUUGGGUCGAACCUUUUAGGCCAUACCAUUACAUCCAAUGAUGUUCCAAUCAUAUAUAAAGGAUAUAUUUACAUGUAUGAAGUAUGAUUAUCAAAAUACUACAUGAUUUAAAGGAUAUAUUUGUAAAAUGGGAAAUUCUUUGUUACCCAUCUCACUAUGGUGGGUAUUUGUACCCAUGACAUUUUAAGUCGGUUAAAAUGUUAACUGACGUCAUAAGAUUUUUUUUUUUUUAAUUUUUUUUUAGAAACGAGAUUUUCUUUGAUACCAGAGUUUUAGCAGAAUGCAGAAGACUUUUUCUAUAGAAAAAUUUAAAAUCUUUUGUUUAGUUUUUCGAGUUGUAGAGACAACUUGAGCUUUGUAAUUUAUUUAUCUCUUUUUGUUCUGAGAUUUCAAAAUCUCUUUUGGGUGGUGUUACUCUAAGGCUUUAAUCCAUGAUCGAUGGUUUUUCUGUUUCUUCAAAUAUAUAUUUCUCAGCUUCUAUCAAGGAAAAACUAUUUCUUGCUAAAUUUCUAAAUAUAGGUGACUUUAGGGUAACUAAAGGUGUAAAUAAUUCAUCAAUAUGAAUUGUAUUUUUUCCUAUAAAUUCUAUGCUAUGGUGUGAAUUACUCAAAGAAUAAUUAAUUCUAUAACAUAUUGUAAAAGGAUGAUUACCCUUUUUCAUAAAAUUCGAGUUUUCCAACUUAUAAUGAAAAACUAUAGAUCUAUCUAGAUCUUUAUCUUUUUGGGAUAAUCCCAUUUGUAAAUUUAUAUCAAAUUUUAUUUUUCCAUAUUUUAAAUUACACUUUACGUGUGCAAUUGUUGCUUGUCUUUUGUCUAAAAUCCUAGAGUCUUCUAGGGCUAUUUCUAGAGGUGAAUCAAUACAUUUCAUAAAGAUACUUUUGAUUAAAAUUUGAAUAAUUGAUAUAUGAAUAUAACCACUUUUUCUUUUUUGUUUUUCAGAAAAUGUUUCAAUUCUUUUUUCAAUUUGAGUUUUUUGUAUGGUAGAUAUGAAUAUAUUUCCUUGAGUAUUUUCAAUUGAAAUUUCUUCUUCUUCUAUCAUUAUUCCAAAUUUCAAAAUACUUUUUCUUGAGAAAAAUUCUUUGAAUUUAUUAAACUUUCUUUUGAAAUUUUCUUCAGCAGUUAAAGAUAAAUCUGAUUCUUCUAUCUUAUUAUCUAUUAUGUCAUCAGCAUAAUAACUAGAUGUUCCUUCAAAGUAUGAAACCUCGAUCAUAUUCUAUGUUGUUUAUUAUGUCAAUACUAUGAUACUGAAAAGUAAAUUUUGAAUUUAAUAAAGAUAUAUUCAUACCUGAUUUGAUUUUCUUUGAGAUUUUGUUGAUAUUUUUGGUUUCGUUGUAGUUAGAUAUAAUAAUACCCUGUUUUUCCAAUUUUAACUUCCUUAUGCCCAAAUUUGAUCCAAAAACUUUUCUAACCAUUUCUAUACAUGUUAAGGCACUCAAAACCAUAUAAAACAUUGCACUAAAAAUAACUCAUGAUCUGAACAUCACUUCUACCAAAUUCAACGGAUUUUCUACUCUAUUAACAACCAAUUACAACUUCAAAACCUAAUUCUCAAAUUCUCAUAACUACAACCUACAACAUGCAAAAUUCAAUUUCAGAAUUAUACAACGUAGAAUUAGAGAAAGUUAGUCUCACCCUUACAAAAUAUAAUCAUUCGAAGAUUAUAUCUAGCUACAACGAAACCAAAAAUAUCAACAAAAUCUCAAAGAAGAUCAAAUCAGGUAUGAAUAUAUCUUUAUUAAAUUCAAAAUUUACUUUUCAGUAUCAUAGUAUUUACAUAAUAAACAUUAUAGAAUAUGACUGAGGUUUCAUACUUUGAAGGAACGUCUAGUUAUUAUGUUGAUGACAUAAUAGAUAAUAAGAUAGAAGAAGCAGAUUUAUCUUUAACAGCUGAAGAAAAUUUCAAAAGAAAGUUUAAUAAAUUCAAAGAAUUUUUCUCAAGAAAAAAUAUUUUGAAAUUUGGAAUAAUGAUAGGAGAAGAAGCAAUUUCAAUUGAAAACACUCAAGGAAAUAUAGUCAUAUCUACCAUACAUAAAACUCAAAUUGAAAAAAGAAUUGAAACAUUUUCUGAAAAAGAAAAAAGCAAAAUUGGUUAUAUUCAUAUAUCAACUAUUCAAAUUUUAAUCAAAAGUACCUUUAUGAAAGGUAUUGAUUCACCUCUAGAAAUAGCGCUAGAAGACUCUACGAUUUUAGACAAAAGACAAGCAAAAAUUGCACAAGUAAAAUGUAAUUUAAAAUAUGGAAAAAUAAAAUUUGAUAUAAAUUUACAAAUAAGAUAUCCCUAAAAGAUAAACAUCUAGAUAAAUCUAUAGUUUUUCAUUAUAAGUUGGUAAACUCGAAUUUUAUAAAAAAGGGUAAUCAUCCUUUUACAAUCUGUUAUAAAAUUAAUUAUGCUUUGAGUAAUUCACACCAUAGCAUAGAAUUUACACCAUAGAAUUUAUAGGAAAAAAUACAAUUCAUAUUGAUGAAUUAUUUAAACCUUUAGUUACCCUAAAGUCACGUAUAUAUAGAAAUUUAGCAAGAAAUAGCUUUUCCUUGAUAGAAGCUGAGAAAUAUCUAUUCGAAGAAACAUAAAAACCAUUGAUCAGGAAUUUGAGCCUUAGAGUAACACCACCCAAAAGAGAUUUUGAAAUCUCAGAACAAAAAGAGAUAAAUAAAUUACAAAGCUCAAGUUAUCUCUACAACUCAAAACUAAACAAAAGAAUUUAAAUUUGUCUAUAGAAAAAGUCUUCCGCACUCUGCUAAAACUCUGGUAUCAGAGCAAACCUCGUUCCUAAAUAAAUAAAUAAAUAAAUUAAAAAAAUAAAAAUAAAAAUAAAAAAAUCUUAUGACGUCAGUUAACAUUUUAACCGACUUAAAAGGUCAUGGGUACAAAUACCCACCAUAGCGAGAUGGGUACACAAGUUGUCACCUUGUUUUAUUGUUGGACGUGAUUGCCACUUAGUUCAAAAACAUGUUUUUUUUUAUAUCAUGGUAGAAGUGUAUAUAUAGUUUUUUUUUAAUCAUGUAUAUAUAGAGAUUAAUACAUCGAGUCUCUUAAGACCACAAAUUUAGUUAGAUAGAAUACCUUAUGUCAAAUUUAACUUAGUUACACUUUUGAUAAUUUUGUGUAAAAUAUAUGAAUUUAACAAACACUAUCAAAGCUGCCUACCUGUCUCAGACUUGAGAGAGAGCGCCACGUAGGACAACGUGGGCUCCAUAUUCUCACUUUGCCAGGUCAUUUAUUACAAAACUUAAACAAAUGACAAAAAAAAAAGCUAACACUAAAUAAUACCGAAAAUAACUGCGAUGUUUCGAAAAUUCAAAGAACAAAAGACAAAACAACAAAAAAAGGAAAAAAGUUUCUUUCAAUUUUCGUUUUCAACAUUAAUUAAUUUAACUAAUUUUCUCUCUCUUUCUCUCUCUCUCUCUCUGCAUUUUGUUUUCUUCUUCCUUGAUCUGCAACGUUACACUCUUCUCUCUCAACAUUGCUACAUUCAUUCCUCAACUUCAACAUUGUCCCUCCCGUUUGGUUCGUUUUCCUUUCUUCUUUCUGUUUUGUUUUCAAUUUGGUGCAUUGCAUUGUUAUUUUUUUUUCUUCAUAAUUUUAGCUGGUUAAUUUUUUUUAAGGGAUUUUAAAAAAAAAUCAAGGGAAAUAUGUUUCUUAAUUAUUUGAGCUGUUUUGAAUUUUAACAAAUUAUUGUGUUUGAUGCAUUGUGAAUUUGCAUUAUCUAUUUAGCUUAUAGAUUUGAGUUUGAUUAUGAUUAUGAUUUUUAUUGUUUUAUGUUUAAGGUUAUUUUUUAAUUCUGUUUUUGGAAUUUUAUGAUGUUAGGGUGUUUUAGGAAUUUGAAAUUUGAAUGUUGGUUUGAAUAAGGGUGGGUACCCCUCCUUUUUUUUAUUCAGUAUCCAAGGAUGAAUUGAAUUUACUGGGUUUAAAUUAUAUGAAAAGUUGGUAUAUUGUGCAGAUUUAGUAUUAUGCAUCAAAUAUUAUGGCGGUGUUUAUGUGAUGAAACCUAGCGCUGACACUUCCGGUCAAAGGCAUGUCCAGUGUAUGACAUAUGUCCAACACUGACACAUGCGAUUACAUUCAAUUAUGUCAUUUUCGUCAAUUACCACCCAUGUUAGUGACGUGGUCAUAUUUGGUUGCCAUGUAUGUCUUAGUGCUUCAUAGGAUGAAACUGAUCAUUUUGUUAAUUUGCAUGUGUUGUUAGGUUUUAGAAGAACAAAUCGGGGACAAGGGGCAGUUUGAUGGUGCUCCCUUCCACUAGCUGUUUUUUGGGUUUUGUUCUUGGUGGGUAUGUGUUGGUUGAAUAGAAUUCUACUUUGAGCUGAAUUGCGGCUAAAUGGCAAAGGGAAGGAUCAGGGCGAGGCUCCGAAGGAGCAAUUUUUACACAUUUGGUUGUCUUCGAGCCUCUGCUACUACUGAGGAAGGGCCUCAUCCACUUCAAGGUCCGGGGUACUCGCGAACCGUGCACUGCAACCAGCCUCAGAUCCAUGAGAAGAGACCUUUCUUUUAUUGCAAGAAUGAUAUUUCCACAACCAAAUACAACGUUCUUACAUUUUUGCCCAAGGCAAUUUUUGAACAGUUUCGUAGGGUUGCUAAUAUAUACUUUCUUUUGGCUGCGUGUCUCUCGUAUACUCCAAUGUCACCUUUUAGUGCAUUGAGUAUGAUUGCUCCUUUAGCAUUUGUUGUCGGGCUUAGUAUGGCGAAGGAAGCAUUGGAAGAUUCCCGCAGGUUCGUUCAGGAUGUUAAAGUUAAUCGUCGAAAAGUUAAUCACCAUAAAGGUGAUGGUGUUUUUGGUCAUAGAUCGUGGCAGAAUAUUAUGGUUGGGGAUGUAGUAAAAGUAGAAAAGGACAAGUUUUUUCCAGCUGAUUUGCUUCUCCUAUCAUCAAGUUAUGAUGAUGGGAUAUGCUAUGUGGAGACGAUGAAUUUAGAUGGUGAGACCAACUUGAAGGUUAAAAGAUCUUUGGAGUCUACCUUGGCCCUAGAUAGUGAUUUAGCUUUUAAGGAUUUCACUGGAACAAUAAGAUGUGAAGACCCGAACCCCAGUCUUUACACUUUUGUUGGAAAUUUUGAGUAUGAGCGCCAGGUUUAUCCUCUUGAUCCUGGUCAAAUUCUCCUCCGAGAUUCUAAGCUCAGGAACACCGAAUACAUCUAUGGAGUGGUCAUUUUCACUGGUCACGACAGCAAAGUCAUGCAGAAUUCCACAAGAUCCCCUUCAAAAAGGAGCACAAUAGAAAAGAAGAUGGAUUAUAUCAUAUACACUCUCUUCACUGUCCUUAUAUUUAUAUCUGUCAUUAGUACCAUAGCAUUUAUUGUCAUGACCAAGUACGGAACCCCAAAUUGGUGGUACAUACGCCCUGACGUAAUCGACCGCCAGUAUGAUCCCAAGACACUUGGAAUGGCUGGGGAUGAGUCAUUUGAUUACUGCUCUCAUUCUCUAUGGAUAUUUGAUACCCAUCUCACUUUAUGUUUCCAUCGAGGUUGUGAAGGUUUUACAGGCAACCUUCAUUAACCAAGACAUUCUAAUGUAUGAUGAAGAAACCGGAACUCCAGCUGACGCACGGACUUCAAAUUUGAAUGAAGAGUUGGGUCAGGUGGAUACAAUCCUCUCUGAUAAAACUGGAACUUUAACAUGCAAUCAGAUGGACUUUUUGAAGUGCUCUAUUGCGGGUACUCAAUAUGGUGCGUCUUCAAGUGAAGUUGAACUUGCUGCUGCAAAGCAGAUAGCUUCUGAUCUCGAGGACGGGGAUUCAGAUCUCUCCAAUUUCCCCCUACGUCAUAGGAAAGCUCAGGUUUCAUGGGAAAACAUUGAUAAAGUUGAUGAAAUUGAACUAGAGACUGUUGUUACUUCCAAAGGUGAUGAGGAUCAAAAGCAUGCCAUAAAGGGGUUUGGUUUUGAAGACGACCGUCUCAUGAAUUGUAAUUGGUUGCAAGAGCCCAAUGUCGAUGACAUUUUAUUAUUUUUCCGAAUACUAGCAGUUUGCCAUACUGCCAUUCCUGAGCUGAAUGAGGAGACAGGUGGUUUUACAUAUGAAGCCGAGUCUCCAGAUGAAGGGUCUUUUCUCGUAGCUGCAAGAGAAUUUGGCUUUGAGUUUUGUAGGAGGACCCAGUCAAGUAUUUUCACACGUGAAAGAAUAUCUGCUUCAGGGCAAGUGGUUGAAAGGUAUGAGUUUAGGAAAACUCUUAUGCUCAUCUAUUUCUUUUGAUUUGUUUGCACUCCCAACCCCAGGCAUUACAAGAUAUGUUUUGUCUCUAUUCAUGUCUAUUUAUAUUUCUUUAUAUAUACUUUUGCGUGAAUCAUUCAGGGAGUACAAACUCUUGAAUCUACUAGAUUUCACAAGUAAAAGAAAGCGUAUGUCAGUGAUUGUCCGUGAUGAGGAGGGCCAAAUUUUUCUUCUGUGCAAAGGGGCUGACAGGUUAGCUUACAAAUUCUAUUGUUCUUGCCUAUGGUACUCAUUUUUUACUGCUGAGCGUAUAAUGUCGAUCAUCAAUAGGACCUUCUCAAAUAAUACAUUAGAAUAAAUGAAAUUGAAAUUAAACUUGAGCUUCACAACGUUCAGCAAAUUUACAACACAAUCACAACAAUCCCCUGCUUCCAUAGAAGAAGCUUGCAAAAACACACAUGUAUUACUCUCAUAAAGAGGCUUUCAAUAUCUCUCUUAGAAUUUGACAUCCAUUCUUUUCUUGCUCGGUUUUUCAGUAUCAUAUUUGAUCGUUUGUCCAAGAACGGAAAAGCGUAUUUGGAGGCUACUACCAAGCAUUUAAAUGAUUAUGGAGAAACAGGUUUAAGGACACUAGCUCUGUCCUAUAGAAGGCUUGAAGAAAAAGAGUACUCGGAUUGGAACAAUGAGUUUCAGAAAGCCAAAGCAGCCGUUGGGGCUGACAGAGAGGCAAUGCUUGAGCGGGUCUCAGAUAUUAUGGAAAAAGAGUUGAUUCUUGUUGGGGCUACUGCUAUAGAAGACAAACUGCAGAAAGGGGUAGGAUUUGUUAUUCUUUCUAAUCAACACACACACACACACACACGUAUUGCCGUCGUUGUUGUUUUUCCUACUUCAAAUCUUCAACCAAAUUCAACGCUUUAUUCUCCUCAGGUUCCCCAGUGCAUUGAUAAACUUGCUCAAGCUGGUCUCAAGAUUUGGGUAUUGACGGGGGAUAAGAUGGAAACUGCAAUCAACAUUGGGUCUGUCAACCACAAACUAUCUAGCCUCGUAUACUAUUUUAUUUAUGUUCUAAACAUAUAAGGUUGAACUUACAGAAAAGUGCUUCCGUAACAAAGUAUGCUGAAAUGAAAUUGUAUUUUCUGUGGUGCAGCUUUUCCUGUAGUUUGCUUCGACAGGGCAUGAAGCAGAUCUGUAUAACUACAAAUUCAGACUCAGUAUCCAAUGAUACCAAACAGGUACUCUUUUUCAUUGAGAAAGCGUAUCAGAGUUUACUUUACGGGCUUGUGUUUUAUCUGAUGUUGGGCCUAGUUCUUUUGCUUAACUCCGCAGGCCAUUAAGGACAACAUAUUAAAUCAAAUUACCAAUGCUACACAAAUGAUAAAGCUGGAGAAGGAUCCUCAUGCAGCAUUUGCAUUAAUUAUUGAUGGGAAAACUCUGACAUAUGCUUUAGAAGAUGAUGUAAAGCUCCAAUUUUUGGGACUAGCAGUUGAUUGUGCAUCUGUCAUCUGCUGUCGUGUGUCUCCCAAGCAAAAGGCACUGGUGGGAGAUUUUUUUUCCGUUUUCUGUUGUGAUUUUGUGGACUCAUACUGUAUGAGUAGUUAAUUAUUGGAGUUAUAUGUAUGCAUGAUUGCUCACGUGGAUCCACCUUAGUAAAAUAGGAAAACUUAGGUCCAUUAAAAAUCAGCUUGUAUGCCACUCAUUGCCACACUUACGUAGAUUGCAUUUAUCCAACUCUAUCUCUAUGUCAACUCUGAUAUAUAAAGUUAUAUAUGCAUUUUACAAUGUCCUGAUUUCUUAAUCUUCUGGCGCCAGGUCGUAAGGUUGGUAAAACAAGGAACUGGGAAGACCACUCUUGCAAUAGGUGAUGGUGCAAAUGAUGUUGGCAUGAUACAAGAAGCAGAUAUUGGUGUUGGAAUCAGCGGGGUUGAAGGUAUGCAGGUCAGUGGCAUACAUGACUGUCUCUUUAAGAAAAACUGUCUCACAAAUAUCACUGCUUAUGACAAGUUAAUUCUAGCCUUUAAUUUUGCAAGUUGGAAUAAAAUUUUAGUCUUAUAUAGUCUUCUUAUUUUAAAAAAUAACACCGUGAUUAGAGAAAGAAAACCUGUCAUGUAUCUUUUUUCAUGUUUGGACUUGCUUUCAAGCUGGACCGUGCACUAGAUUUUCUCAUAGUUGUCUUGUGAUUAGAGCUUCUGAACUGAUGCAAGAGGAAAAUGAACUUCCUCUUUGCAUUAUCAAUAAUAUGCUGACUAAUUUAUUCUAUAAAACGAGGGAAAAAAUCGAACUUGCUUAACAAAAUGAAACUUAUUUAGAAAGUUAGCAUUUUGGUAUUUUCUUAAUUCUUUUUGUUAUUAUUGCCUGAAACUAGUUAUAUCUGAAUUUUGGUCAGAUUGAAUUGCUAAAUUUUAUUGUAGUGUGGAAAAUGAUGUGCAAAUUUUCUGACGUUACGUAAUUGUGAUGUAUUCCUUAGUUGUCCUUUUAAGCUGUGGUCUCAAGCAUGUAAUUUCCUUUCAGGCAGUGAUGGCUAGCGACUUCUCGAUUGCCCAAUUUCGAUUUUUGGAGCGGCUUCUGGUGGUCCAUGGACACUGGUGUUAUAAGAGAAUUGCACAGAUGGUAAUUGAUUAAUAAUUGUCUUGAUCGUCAUUCUCACAAACUGGAUGCCUUGCAUUCAAUGCCUUGUGUGUUGUGUAUCCUUUGCAUGGAUAGAGAAGCACUUAAUAUUUCUAGCAUGUUGUAUCUGUUUUAUUAUGAAUUGAUUCCUUCAUUCCUCUUCUUAACUGGUAUCUUCUACCUUGCAGAUUUGUUAUUUCUUUUACAAGAAUAUAGCAUUUGGCCUCACCAUCUUUUACUUUGAGGCCUAUACAGGCUUCUCCGGCCAAUCGGUUUAUGACGACUGGUACAUGAUAUUGUUCAACGUUUGUUUGACAUCAUUACCCGUCAUUUCACUUGGUGUAUUUGAACAAGAUGUUUCAUCGGAAGUUUGUUUACAGGUUUGUUCUCUUGCAAUGUCAUCAACAUAUUACGUCCCAGUGUGAAAAAUCCAACCUAUUAAUAAGUUGUCGUGUUUUGCAGUUUCCAGCACUUUACCAACAAGGACCCAAAAAUCUGUUCUUUGAUUGGUAUAGAAUAUUAGGAUGGAUGGCCAAUGGUCUAUAUUCCUCUGUCGUCAUCUUCUUCGGCACCGUCCUCAUAUUCUAUGAGCAAGCAUUCCGUGUUGAUGGUCAGACAUCUGACUUGGCUUCUCUUGGAACCACAAUGUUCACUUGCAUAAUCUGGGCAGUCAACUGUCAAAUUUCACUGACAAUGAGCCAUUUUACAUGGAUUCAACAUCUGUUUAUAUGGGGUAGCAUAGUUACUUGGUACCUCUUUCUCAUGAUGUAUGGCGCACUUUCUCCCAACCUUUCUCACAGUGCCUACCAUUUACUGAUUGAGGCUCUCGGACCUGCGCCUAUUUAUUGGGCAACAACAUUAUUAGCUACAGUUGCAUGCAUUCUUCCUUAUCUUGUCCACAUAUCAUUUCAAAGAUGUUUUAGUCCAAUGGAUCACCACAUUAUCCAAGAAAUCAAGCACUACAAGAAAGAUAUUGAGGAUCAAUCCAUGUGGGUGAGGGAGAGUUCUAAAGCAAGACAAGAAACCAAGAUUGGGUUCACUGCAAGAGUGGAAGCAAAGAUCAGACAAUUGAAGGGAAAGCUGCAUAAAAAACAAUCUUUCUUGAAUAUUUUGUCCCCAGUACGUACAUAAUUGACAUUUUUGAGUAUUUUUUUAGGCUAUGCGGGUUAAUUUUUGUUCACAAUUUUGCCCCUUUUAAAUUCUUUGAUGCUUAUAUUGUGUUAUAAUGAAAACGGGGUGAAUUUAUGUCUCCUUCACCACAAAAAAAAUGUAAGCUAUUGUAUGUAACAUAUUUAUAUUUAUAUAGAAGAGUGUCAGUGUGUGUUUCUCAUGCCAAAAAGGGUUAUGGUCCAAGUGACAUUGAAGAAAUGAAACAGCUACUUUUUAUUAAUUUUUUUUUUUUUAGAAAAUAAACGUGGAUUGUGGAUUUGUGGUAUUUGAAGCACAAAGACUUCUUGGAUUAGGCGUGCCUCGGUGUCGUAUAUGUGUUGGUGUUGGAUACCAACAUGACACCAACACAUAUACAUUGAAUUAUGUCAUUUUUUCAAAUUAUUAAGGGUGUUGACUUGUCAUUGUUGUGUCUGGUGUCCAUGCACCAUAGUUUGUGAUUUGGAUUGAAGUUUGCAAGUUAUGUCCGAUUAAAAUUCAUUUUACAAAAUUAAGUUUGAUCAAUAUCAGUUUGCUUCAAUGUUCCCUAAAAUAAAAACCAGGUUGCUUCAUUGUGAUUUUUGUUUUGGGAGACGUUUCUCAAAUGCACGUAUGAUGGAAUAAAAUGCAAUUUAUAUUGGUGGAAAGUAUCAAAAGUACUUCUGAGCAUAUAAUUACCAUAAAUCAUAUGACUUUUAUAUUGUAGAAUAAAAAGGUGUUAGAGACUUUGCUUCAUGCAAACUUCUAAAAUCAGACUUUGUUGGGCUAACUGAAUUAAGGAGUUCAUAAUGUAUUUUGGUAAAAUUACACUCACCUCAGGCCAUGGAUCCACACUAUGUUAAAUGGAGGCACUUGACCCCACUCCUUCAAAUAGUUUGUAAUUAUUAAGAGCAACUUCAACGGUCAUUUUUUCUUGCAGUCCACCAGCAUGGAGUUACAAAAUUUGAGCAACUUUGUAUGCUUUGUUAUUGGGGUCCGUCAACUGUAGUAAUACCCGUUGCCUUCUGAAGCAACCAAAUUCAAAGAGUUAUGUUAUCCUUGUUACUGUUUUUUUAUAUGACCUGUUACCGGUGUUAUUAAUUUGACCAAGCAAUUCUGCCAUACCACCAGUGUGAAACAUAAGUUAAUUUAUUUUAUCAUUUUUUUUUAUUAUUGAAAUUCUUUUAUCUAUAAAUUGUGAUCAUUUACAAAAUUCACAAUUUCAUAUUAUAUACUCUUAAUUUUACACUCAAAUUUACCCUCAUAAUUUUAACUUCAUAAUUUCAUCUUUUUGGUCUUCAUUAUUCAAUGUUUAUAUCUCCAAUAGAUCCCAAUCAAUAUAAUUACCAACAAUUUUUGUCAUUGGCGACAAAUCCAACCAUUUUCAUGUUGUCACCAACUAACCCCCAACAUAUUUUAUCGACCUAAAAUUGAUACACAAAGUGGAGAGUUUACUCAUUAUGAACCUGAAACACCAAUUGAGCCUAUGUCAGAAUGUCAUGGUUUCACAAUUUUCAACUCAAGUUGGUCUUGAAAAUAUUACGCUUGGAGAAAAAAGAUGUUCUGCUCCCAAAAUGCCUCGCGAGCUAUUCACAUGAGAUGAGGAUAUACUUCUUAGUGAAUGAUAUCAUGAAUAUUGUGGAAAAUGAUAAAAAAGAUCCUAUUGUGGAAAAUGAUAAAAAAGCAGACAAAUUUUGGUUAAGGAUCCCUGCUAAUUAUAACCAAUAUCAUGGCCAAUUGCAAGAGAAGAAGCUAAUAGAAUAUAAAAAUUAACAGUAACAAUAUUAUCCCAAUUCGAGAAGGGACAUCUCUCCUAAGAAAGGGAGGAAGACUAGAACUUUUGUUUAUUAAUUUACUUCAUUAUUUAUUUACACAUUACAAUCUUAAUAUAACACACCAAUAAAUAACUAACUUCCUAUAACAACUAAUAACUUCAUAAAACUACUACCAAUAACUACCUAUAAAUAUAAUUAAUAAUUAACACUAUAAUAUAAUAAUAUUGACAUUUGCUCAAAAAAAAAUAUUGACAUAUUAUACACAUAAUUAUAAUUUAUAUUACAUAUAAAUACAUAUUUAAUAUGUUAUCUUAUACCCGUAUCAGGAGCCUAGUCAAUUAAAAUCUCGAUGGAGUCAAAUAAAUGAUCCGUUAAUAAAUUUGUCGGAUGUUACCCUUCAGUUGUUGAUGGAAAGAAAAGUGGAACCUUAAAGAAUGAUAUCAUGAAUAAUACACAUGCUUUACUCAAAACUAUGAUUUGUAGCUUUUGAUUUUAGAAAUGACUUUAACACACAUAUCUAUGAUUAAACUCAUUUUUAUAUAAAUAUAUCUAAAUACAAAGCAUUUUUAAAUUACAUUUAACUAAAAUCGACUCUACAUAAUCAGUUCUAUCAAAAUUAAUUCUCACACCGCACAAACAAAGACGCACUUCAUAUUUAAGUUUUGGUGUGAAUACAAUGUCGACUACUUGGACUAAAGCAGGCAUGACUCUAAUGAGUGACAAGUCUUUAUGAGAUAAGAUUUAAUGAACUUUGUCCUUAAUUAAUUAAUUAAUAAUAAUCAAAAUCCAAAAAACAAGCGUUAGGUAAGGUUGAUGAAGAAAGCGUGAGCGCGUGACAACGAACGAUUCAUCACUCACAAUAAUUUCUCUCUCUCAUUUUCUUUUUUCUUAAUUCCUAUUUUGUCCUUUCCUUUUUCAUCAUUUCCCAGAUAUACCCUUUUCUUCUUCUACGAUGACGCACUUCAACUCGUAGCUCUUCUUUUUCAAUUCUGAUUUUCAAUAGGGUUUAAUGGAACCUCGAAUUGGGAAUAAGUUCCGUCUUGGGAGAAAAAUUGGUAGCGGAUCUUUUGGAGAGAUCUAUUUAGGUUCGUUUUCAUUCCAAUUUGUUGCAUUUUUGUGAUUUUUUGUUGUGAAUUUUAGGGUUUUUAAUUUGUGUUUUUGUUGCAGGUACCAAUAUUCAAACAAAUGAAGAAGUUGCGAUUAAGCUUGUAAGUACCUGAAUUUUGAAAAAGAAAUUGAACAAAGAGUUCUUUUUUCUUUUUCUUUUGAAUUAUUGGUGAUUGUGAAAUCCGAAUACUUUUGUUGUUAUUGAAGUUUGAUGAGAAGGGGUUAUAGAAAUUAGUUGAAUUUGCAUGUUUUUAGUGAUGUUGAAUUAAAAUAAUGAAUUUGAAAAAAAGAGUUGUAUAGGCAAUAUGGGAUAUUGAAUUUCGUUUGUGUUUUAGUUUUCGAUACUGAACUUGUUGGUUUAUUUUCGCCUUGUAACUGAAGUAUCAAUGACAGAGGCAGGGAAUUAGGGAAUUAGAUGAUUGAUUAGGUUAGUCAGGUAAUCACCAUAAUCAGACUUGGUUAAUCAGUUAAGUUAAUGAUUAAUGGAUUAAAAUAAAGUAAUGAUCGAUUAGGUGAUGUAGAUUACUGGUUUGGUAUUUGAAAUUAUGAGUAUCAAGUAAUUAAAAUUUACGAACUCGUAUUUGGAAAUAUUGAGCAAUUGAGUCUUUUGAAUUUACGAAUUGAUAUUAUAAUUAUCGAGCAAUUUAGUUGUAAGUAGUGAGCAAUUUGCAAAGUUUUGUGCAUCUCUUUGCUGCAAAAUUGAAAUUAUUGAAUGACACUUGUGUAGUUGAGUAGUUUACUAAUUUAUUUUUGUUUUGUUUGAUUCAGGAAAAUGUCAAAACCAAGCACCCUCAAUUGUUGUAUGAAGCAAAGCUGUAUAAAAUACUGCAAGGAGGAAGUAAGCUCCCAACUUAGUGAAUUUGUGUAUUUUGGAACUCUUUGCUUACUAUAGACUUCAUAUUACUCACUUGGCUUAAACAUUUUUUGUUGGUUUCUUUUCUUUGGAAGCUGGAAUACCGAAUGUGAAAUGGUCCGGUGUCGAAGGAGAGUACAACAUCCUUGUGAUGGAUUUACUUGGCCCUAGUCUUGAGGAUUUAUUCAAUUUCUGUAAUAGGAAAUUGUCUCUCAAAACUGUUCUUAUGCUUGCUGAUCAAAUGGUGGGUUUUCCUGUAUUGCAUAAGCUUGUAAUUGACAUUUACCAGUUUUCUUAUAAUGUCUCAAACUGCAUCUUUUUUCAGAUAAAUCGAGUUGAAUUUGUUCAUACCAAGUCAUUUUUACAUCGGGACAUAAAGCCAGACAAUUUCCUCAUGGGUUUAGGGAGGCGUGCAAAUCAAGUACUUGUUUAAUUCUUGUGUUUUUCAGCUGCUUUCUUAAAAUUUAUGAUCAUCUCCAACGCUUGUUAUGUAUCAAUUUCAUAUUUGCCUCUUAUGUAGGUGUACAUCAUUGACUUUGGUCUUGCUAAGAAAUUCAGAGACAGUGCACAUCAGCAUAUUCCCUACAGGUACUUUUGUGGCAUCAAUAGUUUUCUGAUUUUAUUCAGCAUGGUUGCACAGUUCAACUUCAAACUAUUCACCAUCGAUAUAUUCCCUAUCAUGCUUUCUUAUUUUGUAAAAUCUAUUAUCAUGGAAAAUCCUAUAUCUGGAAUCUGGAUGUUAUGCUAUCAUGAAUUAUUUAUGUGGAUAGCUGAUUACUACUAUUUAGUAGGAGGAGAGUUUUCUCGUAAUAGAAAAAGUAGAAAAAUUAAUAUCAUUGAAAGUUGCAAAACUAAUUUUGAGCUUUGCGCAGGGAACUUUCCUGGUUUUACAUUCCUGGCAUUGAUUCUAUUUUCUUCACUUUGAGUUGUUUAUGUUUCUAUAAUCCUUGCAUGACUUGUUACACCAGCUCGUUAAGUUAUUUGUCCUUGAUGAUAGUUUUGUUAGCCUUGUUUGAACUAAGAUCCAUUGAUGCCAUACUUACAAACAUAAACUAAAAAAAUGAUAUGUGAUUACCAAAACAAUAUUAAAGGAUUCAAGCAUUGAAUUAGUUAAUUUCACAAUUUUUUAGUUGAUUUGGACAUCCAUAUAAUAGGUAUGCAAUCAAAUAAUAAAUGUUUACUUACAUUUUAAAUGUUAAAAUGUUUACUUUAUGAGAAUUUUUAACUCAAUGACUAGAUCAAUAAAACUCGUGAAUAAAAAGUUAUUAAAAGGUGAAUUUAUGCCAAAUUAAACUUGGUUUCAUUGGAUCCCGACUCUCUCCCUCUCUCUGGGGUCUGUAAUAUCACUUUACCUAGUCUUUACGAUUAUUUAUUUAAAGAUCAAGUUAGCACAUAACUUAUGUUGCUGUAAGUGGUCAAGGAAAUAUACUCUAUUGUGUUUUCUGUGAGUUUGUCUUACUUGUAAUCCCUUGCAGAGAGAAUAAGAAUCUGACGGGAACUGCUAGAUAUGCCAGUAUGAAUACUCAUCUUGGAAUUGGUAUGUUCUCAUAAUCUCAUUUGAUCAGUUCCCUUUCUUAAUAGCCAUUGAUUUUUACCUGAAAAUGUGAGUUUUUUGCUUUAAUAGAGCAAAGCCGUAGGGAUGAUUUAGAGUCGCUUGGAUAUGUUCUUAUGUAUUUUUUAAGAGGAAGGUAAUUAGUCUAUCACCUUUAUUAUUUGGCAUUUGACAUAUCUUUUAAUUGGAUACUCUUUCUUAUUUGGUAUUUCUGCAGUCUACCUUGGCAGGGAUUAAAAGCAGGUACUAAAAAGCAGAAGUAUGAGAGAAUCAGUGAGAAGAAAGUUUCUACAUCUAUUGAGGUAUGAUUGGAGUGAUAAAACAGUAACUUAUUUCAUAUAAUGUAUGUCCAUUAUGUCUUUUAAAAUCAUUGUUGAUUGUGGGUUGCUUCUUUGCUAGUCUCUCUGUCGUGGCUAUCCCUCAGAAUUUGCUUCAUACUUCCAUUAUUGCCGGUCACUGAGGUUUGAUGAUAAGCCAGAUUAUGCUUAUCUGAAAAGACUUUUGCGUGACCUAUUCAUCCGUGAAGGUUUGGGCCUUGUUUUCCUAUUUAUAUUUUAUUUUUGGAAUGAUGCACUAUAGUCCUUGAAAACCAUAGUUUAGGUUCUAGAUGGGAUGUGUUUUAAUGUCAUUUUUUCUUUGUUCUUGCCUUGUUGCUCCAGGAUUCCAGUUUGAUUACGUCUUCGAUUGGACUAUCUUGAAAUAUCAGCAGUCUCAAAUCGCCACUCCUCCUUCCCGUGGUAUUGUAAGUGAUGGUGUGCUGUCUCAUUACGUUAGCUGGUUGAUUGUUGAGAUUAAGUUAUUUAAUUUUUAGUGGAAGUGAUAAUAUGACAAUUACAGGGUCUUGCUGCUGGACCGAGUUCUGGUCUGCCGCUAGCUUCUGCAAAUGCUGAUGGACAGUCAGGUAUCCUUGUUGUUUUAACUUCUCUUUGAUUGAGAUGUUUAAAGACAGAUUGUUAUAGUGCAGUUUCAUAUCAUUUAAUAACUUGUUAGUUAUUCUGUGACAUCCUUCACGUAUUUUGUCAUCUGACUCAUCCUUGAAUGAUUUUCAUUUGUUACCAGUGCAUUUUUUAAUGUGGUGCCUCUUUGUAGGUGGUGGAAAAGAUGGUAGGAAUAUUGGGUGGUCUUCGUCUGAUCCCACUCGAAGGAGAACCUCUGGACCUAUUGCUAAUGAUGGAAUCUUAUCUAGAGAAAAAGCCCCACUUACAAAUGACUUAACCGGAUCUAAAGAUGCUAUGGUGCGUGUUUUAUGUAUGGGCUGUUUUUUGCAUGUGAAAUCAUUAUAUUUCUUGCAGAAGUCAAAGAUGAUGGUUGCUUUGUGCAUUAAUUUCUAGAAUUUUUAAAGUGACAAUAAUUCCUGUCCAAAAUCAUAUAUGAUUCAAGAAAUGAAUAUUUAUUUGAAAUAUUGGAUUGCUUUACAAAAAGAAAGUAUAUGAAGACUGUUUACCUUUUAUCCAAGGAAAAAAUUAAAGUUUUGUCUUGGUGCAUUCCGUUUCUUUUGUUCAUGACUUGGUUUUAAAAUAUUGGCUUUAGCACUUGUGUUUAUACACACAGCUGAGGCAUAAGAUAAGCAGGUAUUGUAAUUGUAAAUAUUUCUCAAAACUCUGCAUAUUGCUAACAUCUUACAUACCCAUUCUCCGGGCUUCACUUCCACGGACCCAUACUAUUGAGUUAAAUGGUGUGGAUAUUGUCGUACUGUGCAAGUUAAUAUUGGCAAAGAAAAUAAUUAGAAAUGCCGUGUGUAUUAUAGUUAUCAUAUAUAAUAUACCCUGCUGGUUAAGUUUAUACAAGGUUAUCUGUUUAUAUGGCAAUUAGUUUUCAUAUUACUCAUCAAUGUUUGUUUUGUUUUUCUGCAUAAUUUAAGCAGUUAUCAAGUUCAAAUUUCUUUCGGUCAAGCGGAUCUGCAAGGCGAGGUGCUAUGUUAAGCAGCCGUGAUGCAGCUGUUGGCAGUGAGACGGAGCCCUCCUCUCGUCCUCUCACGCUGGAUUCAAGUCUAGGAGCAGUCCGUAAAAGCUCUGGUGCUCAGAGAAGUUCACAUAUCAUGGCAUCGGAGCACAACCGAGUAUCAUCUGGAAGAAACACAUCAAACAUAAAUAAUUUGGAUUCAACGCUUAGAGGUAUUGAGAGUCUGCAUUUAAACGAUGAGAGGGCACAGUAUUAGCAGCUGCUACUCUCAGUUCACCUUUCUUCCUUGUAAAUUCUGAAAGGUUUAUACUCAUUUUCACAAAGUGCGGAGUGGAGUGGAGUGUUGUCUGUGCAUUUUGCUGAGAAAAAGCUGCAAGCAAAUUGGGAACUAUACCUAUAAGUAUACAAUAAAGAAAAUAUGUUUUGGUGGUUUCCUAACAAAACUAGCCUCGUAAAAGGCUUCUGUUCAUACAGUUUGUUAUACCGAUGAAUAUUUUUCGUAACCUUUACUAUCAUUUGUUUUCUUUGAUAUUUUUAGCCUCAGGGAUGAUAUAAAGCAUAUCAUUGUGAACUAUACAGGGGGAUUAUAGACUAUAAAGCAUAAUUUAUAGUAGCAAUAUGCGAAUGUGAGCUGUAUUGUGUAUUGUGAGCUUUAAAAGCUCAAUAUGUAGCGCUAGUCCACCGCAUUUCUCUACUGUAAUUUUGGUAUUUUACGAACACACUCCAAUGAUCAAGCUUUCAUGUGAGACUGGAAUGGAGUGAGCAACGGGGAUUAAUUAUUAUCACUACAAAAUAGCUACUGUCAAUAAAUCAUGACUAAAUAUUCCCUGUUGUAUUUGUGAUUUGUUGAAAUGGCAGCACUAAAAGAAAUACCACAAGGAAAGACAAAACAUCUGGUGUAAGUUUGUACCAUUAAUUGUAUGCAUUUGUGUUUAAGAGCCACCUUUAAGAAAAUGAAAAAUAUUGGCUAUGUGAAUGUUUAAGCUUGACAAAUGUUUUAAACAAUGUCAAAAGAAUUAUAAGCCUGAACAAAGUAACUAUUACAUUUUAUCAGCGAAAAAUAAUAAUUAUUACAUUAAUAAAAUAGAAUGAUUUGAGUUUUUUUUUUUGGUACUAAAAAGACACUUAUUUUGAAAUGUUUGAAGUGGUUUCCAAUGAAAUGUAUGGAGUGGUUUCCAAACAGGAUUUUGUUAGGUUUGGAAACUAGCUUGCCAAAACCAGAGCAAGCCCCUAUUUAGAAAAGAAAGAACCAUCAAAAUCCAAUUUUCUUUUAACAAAAAUUAAAUAAAAUAAAAAAUAAAAAUAAAAUAUCUAGAUCUAAUGCUUGCAUCCAAUGUAUUUUUUUUUUAGUAAAAAAUCUAGAUAUAUCAGAGAGAUUACAUUGUUUUGUUUUAAGUUUACAAGUAUUCCCUUCUUCAUUUGAAUUUGAUUUCUUAAUUUAUUUAUGAGUCAACAUACAACUUACAAUAACUAUUUAAUUUACUGUAUAAAUUUUUAGUAAUUUUUUUUUUUUUUUUACAAAAAUGAACGUUAUUCAUUCAUUCAUUUAAAUUAAUAGUAGAAUAAUCAACACAAUACAAAUUCGAAGUUACUAAAAAUAAAAAGGAUGAAUCUGCGAACAAAUUAUAUCAUCUAUGUUAAUAGCAUAAAGUGACAGAGUACAUAUAUCUACAAAUAUGACUAUAUUCAAGUAUACAAAAUACUCAUGUUUUCGGAUCUGCAACGUUGAAGACGCCAAAAUCAUUGAUUGAAUCUGCACUUGCUCAAGACUAAUCUUUCAACCUGAAUGAAAUAAACAUCGCAUAAAGAUGAGAAAUUAAAACAAACAAAGUCGUACAAAGACGACGAAGUCACAUAAACAAACAAAAUAAGAAUGAUAAUACGUGAAAAUCACUUAUUAACUUAAAAAAAAGAAGGUUAAAUUACAUUAAGGGUCCUUUAAGUUUGAGGUUUGAAACAAAUUGGUCCUUUAAGUUAUUUUUGUAACAGAUAAGUCCUUUAAGUUUGAGGUUUGUAACUGAUUGGUCAUUUAAGUAAUUUUUGUCACACAUAAGUCUUUUUAAGUUGUAAAUGUUUUCAAUUUAGUACUUCUAUUAACCAAAAUGAUGAUGUGACAGAAGGACUAAAUUGAAAACGUUUAAAACUUAAAGGACUUAUGUGUGACCACAAUAACUUAAAGUACCAAUCUGUUACAAAUCUCAAACUUAAAGAACUUAUGUGUGACAAAAAUAACUUAAAGAACCAAUUUGUUACAAACCUCAAACUUAAAGGACAUAUAGUAUAAUUUAACCAAAAAAGAAAGAAAAAUAACUUGUAGAGGUGAUUUUAUGACAAAUUUGAUCAUAAAUCACCCUUCUUCGAUGAACCUAAGUUAGUAGAUAGAAAUUCACCUCUAAUAUGCAUUUAUGAUGCAACGUCUAUACCAAUUGAACUAAUCUUACAUAGCCAUAUUCCAUUUAGAAUUUUAUUGAGUAUAAAAAGAUUUCCAUUGAAUAUAUCUUCUUUCGUGCGAUUUUUGUCAAACUCAUGGUUAAGUUUUCAAACUUGCAUGUUAUGAAACUUCAGUUCCUUAAAGUUGUUCAACGUUUGAUAAAAUUAAAGUCCAUUUUAGAAGUUUUCUUUUUCAACCUAUUAUAACGACUUCCAUUUUUAUCUAUUUAAGAGUCAUACAUAAUAAUGUGAACAUGUAUAACUAAGAUUACAAUCCUUAGUUAUACAUGCACCACCACAUAUUCAUAUGCUAUGCAAGAAGUAAAACCAAAUCCAAAAGCAUCUUUUACAUUUUAUUAUGGUGAAUAUACAAUAUACAUUACGAGUGUUAAUUGCACCGCUAGUUUGUCUCAUUAUAAAUGGCAAGGUAAAUUUAAUGCUUUUCCUAAUCUAAAUUGCAGAAGCGAAAAAGAAUGCACAUGGAAAAUACGUAAAAAGAAUCCGUUUGUACAUGAUGCAUCGAGUAAACAAUUUUUGAAACAAGAGUAUGACAUAAAACAACUAAUCUAAUUGGUUAACUCAAUGAUUCAAAAAAUUUGGGCUUAAACAAUUGAUUCAUCAGUGCCAAUUUUUUUUUAGCCUGAACUUUAUGUUUAUAUUAUAGCAAGGGUCUUGCUGUGUCUCCUAGACAUUCUUUGAUCAUUUUAAAUUAAUAAAAGUAUUAUUUAAAAAAGUUAAAUACUACAAUUUUCAAAACAUUAAGCACACAAACUUUUAUAAAAGUUUACCUUUAGAGAAUUUUAAAGAGUGUUAUGGAGACACUCGUUAGCAUUUCCUUUAUAAUAAUGUCAUUUUUGAUAAUGUUUAUUUUAAUGUAAUUUUUAUUAUAAUAUUGUCAUAAGAAAUUAAUAUUAUUAUUAUUAUUACUACUAGUACGAAAAACAAAUUUACAUAGUCUUGUAAGUGUAACUCAAUUGAUAGCUCCGUUGCAGACUGAUACACAAGGUCAGUAUUCGAACCUUGGAUUUUUCAGCUCUCCAUAUUUAUAGUGUCUGAAUCUAACUGCUAGGCUACUUGACCCAAAAAAUAUCUACCGAAUAAAUUGAAUAAAAUAUAGCAGCAGAGCAGAACAUACUCUGAAAAAUAUUGACUAUCACUUUUUAUUUUAAGGGAAAAUAUCACCUUUAAAGCAUCACCAAAUGGAAGUAUUUAAGCGAGUUUUAUAGAUUGAUAAACCGUUCCUUAAUAUUUCUUCUUCUCAUUGGAGGAACUAGCAAAGAAAAUAAAAAAGGUUGAAGUAGUUUAAAUAAGCUACCUUAUAACAUCAACAUUUCAUGAGAAAAAUCAUUAAACUGUUGAUACUUGAAUUCGUUAUCAUGUUCCUAAUACGAAAAUUAGGCAUGUGGCUCGUUAGCUUACACACCUCUCUUUUUUUUUUUUUUUCUUUUCAAUUCAGCUUCGUGUCCAUACGUAAAUUCAUUGGAUUGUGCACGUGGUGCAUAAUAUAUUGUCAUUUUAUAACUUAAAUGACUAAAUUGAGCAAAAAAAAAAUGAUAAAGGGCCAAAGUUUUACUUAAAAUUAAGUUAACGGACAAAUCCUGCAAUAUUGACUUUUAUGUUUGAAUCGACGAUUGGGAAAUUCAGGAACUAUCAAAUAUUUAUGCAUAAACAAUGCCUUCCUAAAAUUUGAUGAACUAGGCAGGGGAUGCAUCUAUAAAGUAUCAACUAAGUUCCAUAUACAAAAAUGAAAUUCAACUUUUUCUAAGUAUAGAGAAUUUAAUUUAGAUAGAUUUAGAAUCCAAAUUAAAAUAAGUAAAUUACAACAGAAAACUAUAAGUUAUUAUAUACCAAUGAAUCAUCACCAUAAUUGGCUGCAUGUGUUCUUGAUCCAUCUUAAACUCUUCUUAAAAGACCCUUUCAUUUUUCCUUCAACAUCAUAUACUUUAUAUCCAGCUACUCUUUUCUUUCUCUGCAACUCUGGAUCAUUGAAGCUCCAACUUUUUGAUGCUUUGCCAAAUUUGCUUUUCCUUUUUUCUACCUUGUUUUGAUCAAAAGCAGAUGAAUUACUUGCAUAAUUUGUACUAUAACUUCUCAGAUCUUGCAUGCUAGUUGGAGCUACUUUUCCACCACUCUGCAAACUUUGAUCCUUGCAUGAUUUGGAUCUGAAUUCCAUGAUAAUAAUUCUCAAACUAAGGAUGUGUUCUAAAGUUAGAAAUUAAAGAAUGGUGAAGGAUAUAUGGUUGAUGGUUAAUGGUUUUGCUUUUAUUUUUUCUUGUUGUAUUUUAUCGGUAUGUUUUUUAAUUAUAUUUACUAAUUUUUUAGUAUAAAUAAUAAAUAGUAUUUGAUUGAAUAGGAGACAGUUGAAAGUGGUGAUGUUAAUGUUAGAUUUUGUCGUUUUUGUAUAAUGGAGUAAGUAUUGGUAGAGAAACUUUCAAUUUUGCUCAACUAAGAUAAGUUGCAUGAGGUGUCAAAAAUGGAUACUGAUGGCUGAAAUUGAGUAAUGUUGUUUUUAUACCAAGCAGGAAUUUAUACAUCACUCUUUUAGUUAAACACAAUAAAAAUAUGAAAUAGAAAAUUAUUCCAAAAUUAUGUGGAAAUAUCAUUUGUUUUAACAAAUGUCAUCUAGUAAGUAUCAGUACAAGUAUCUUAAAUUCAAUGUCCUCGCGAGCUUAGCUCACUUGGUAGGGACAAAGCAUAAUAUAUGCAAGGUCUGUUCAAAUCCUAGCCACGAAAAAAAUUAAUUCAAUGGAUCUGCAAAACGUUACUGAUUAAAUUUAGUAACAUUUGUAAAAUUGUUAGGUAAAGCGCGUGUUACUAAAGAGUUUUAGUUACACUUUAUAAUAUUAUAUGUAACAUUCAAAAAAGUGUCGCAAAAUGUUACAUUAUUGUAACACUUUUUGAAUCACCAGUAACACUAAAAAAAUGUUACAUUUUAAAUUUUGAGAAGUUAUAAAAAAGUGUCGCAAAAUUGUCUUGCCUAAAAAAUUGUGAAUCUACAAAAAAAAUGUUACUAAUUGAAGUAGAUUAGAAAAAAGUGGAUUAUCUAUUGGUAUUUUUGUACUCAAUCCAAGCAAAUCAAAAUACUACAUUUUGAUCAAUCAACAUUUAGAUAAUUUUUUUUGGAUGACAUUACAAUGAAAUAAGAUAUCCUAACUAAACCCAGUAAUAAUCACUUUUUCUACCAAAAAUUUCAAAAAAAAGAAAUGAGUACACCAUCUUUCAUAGCUUCUCUCGAAACAACAAAAGUCUUCUAGCUGCAAGUAUUUAGAAGGAAUAUGGGAACAAAAACAAAAUAAAAGUAAAUUUGAGGUAUAAAUGAUUGAACCAAAUCCAACAAUCACUAAAAAAUUGAGAUAUAAAGAUGGAGCAGAAUUUACCUUUACUAAAGAUGAAGCAAGCAACAAAAUCAUAUUGAUUUAAGUGUUGCUACUUUUUGAACAGAGGAAAGAUCCCACAUUGUUAUAUUCCAUGAAAGUAAAACCAAUCCUACCAGACCCUAAGCACAAAAAAAAAACGCUAGAAUCACAAUAACCACACAACAUAACAUACAAGCUACCCAAAUAGUGAUCAAACCAGUUGAAAAGGAAAAACAUGAUCAAAUCAAACACCUCUGUUGAGCUGAACAGAACAACAAUGAUCUUGUUAAACUCUUGUUCAACAAGAACAACACUCACUCAAUAAGAGUUUCUACAAAUUAAGUUGAAAGAUACACUCAUUGCAAGCCACGAAGCGUUCACCCUUAGCAUUAACCCCCGACGGUAUGUGUUUUCCCCAUAGUUCAUAUUCACCAAAUGAGAUUAUCAUAAUCCAAGUCAACAACAAAGCUUAAAAAUAAAUAAUGGACCACACAUAAGUAAAACAAGUUUUCAAUUCCAACAAAUAUACGAUGUUUGAUAAUAUACGUGGUCUCUUGUGUAGGAAUGUAUGGUUGUCAUGGUUUCCUUAACAAUUCAUGGAAAUAUAGACCAACGAUAAUUAAGUGGCUUUAAGCUAGGAAUCAAAUGUUGUUGUUACAAUACUAGCUAUCAAUAUGAUGAGUAUUAGAACUUUUGCUUAGCGAAUUCUUCAUCCAGGAUCUUCACAAAGGGAGCAACACAGUUUGUGGUGCAAGAAGCAUUGCUGUACAUUAAGAAACAUAGGAAUGAAUAUGAAUAAUCAAUAAAAACACGACACUAUCUUGCAUUGACAUUCUCAACUAUGAUACCGUUGUUCUCAACCUCAACAUUCGCAAUGAGGUCAACAACUUAAAUAAUAAAGCCUUACCUUAUGAUGUCGGCUACUUCAUGGCCGUAGUCUUAUAUAUAAUUUUCCCUAAAAAAAAAACUUAUAUAUAAUUUAUAUAGUCACCACUUACCACACAACAUGGAAAUUCUUCAAAAAAUGGUCUGAACGAAAAAACCUAAGGAAACUGUAAUAAUGAUUCGCACUACAAGAAAAUAUAGAUUUUGCUACCAUUAUUUUACUACAAAUUGUGUUGCUAGCAAAUUUGAAUUAAAAAUACCACUGAAAUACCACAAAAAACCAAGUUAUUACUUAUUAUUACUAUUUUUUUUUUUUUUUAAAGAGACGAAUAGAACAAAGUUUAGAAGAAAAUAAACUUGUGUUAAUACAUACAAACACGUAUAAGAACUAGACUAUUUAUAGACUACAUUACUUGAGAUGCAUGUUAAUUACUUGAGAUACAAGUUAACUCAUAUAACAACUUUACAACCAUCUUCUCUAACUAACAAAGUAACUAACUAACUUCCCAAUAUGAAUUAGCUAACUUUUAACAUCGGUUCCAUGGUUCCGAAUCCAUAACUAACUUUUAAAAAAUUUAAAUCAACUAUUUCAAACCCAAUUGUUAUUAUUUGUUGUUGAAAAAAUGUAAAAAACCAAUCCAAAUUGAAUAUUAGAACUUUUUCAAAACUAAAACCGAUCCGAACCGUGAUUCGAACGGUUAAACUGAACUGAUUUUAACCGAUCUCAACUAUUUAUUUAUAUCGGAUAGUCUGUAUUAAUUAGUGCGUCACAUAUUAGUUGCAUCUCAUCCAUCUUUCAAUGGUUUAGCUAGGACUUGGCAGUUUUCACAUGAUCAAUUUUAGGGAAAACAUGUUCAAAAAGAGAAAAAUAGCACUACCUCACAUAAAGUUGAAAUUUGAAGCAAAAAGUAAACAAGUAUAUGGCACACAGAUAUUACAUGUGUUUUAUAUCUUUAUACAUCAAACAUGCUUGAAUUGAAUUUUGUAUCAGUAUAUUUUUAAACUGAUCAUAGUGAAAAAGUUAAUUCUAAUUUGCAUAUAUCUAAUUUUGAAUUUCCCAAGAACAUAGCACUUAUAGUUUUCUUAAAACGCGUUAUGAAUCCAUACUAUAAAGUACAAUUAGUCCCACAUUAUUCCCAGUUGUGGAUUUGGGUCUAGACUCAUAUCAGUGACGUAUAUGAUUAUAGUAUUGAACAAAAGAAAUAGGAAGGAGAUAAGGAAUAUUUUUUUCAAAAGAUAGAACUUGUAAACAUAACAGUGUUAAAUAACUUCCUAAUCAAACAAAUUUGAUAAAAUUCAAGUAACAUCAAAUCAGAUAUGUUAGAUUUGUAAUGAGUAAUAUAUAAAUGAAGAAUAUAUGUUUUUACAAAAUAUCAAAGAUAUUACUUGUCCAAAAGUAAAAUCCCCAAUAACUUUACAGAAGAACAAAAUUUAACUCAUCAGAGCAAAUCUUCAAAAUUGCAUGGCAGCUCCUCUAUAACCAUAUUGUAGAAUUUCUGAAUAUCUAUGAUCAUACUAGUCUCAUCCUCUGUCAUGAAGUUUAUAGCAAAUUUCUCACUCCGGCCUAUACGGUGAAGAUAGUUUUCAGGCACAGUUGGGAGAUCAUAGUUUACGAUCAGAGACGCUUUAUGCACAUCUGCACCACAAAGCUGGGGGUCGGUGGUAAUGAGAACUUGAGGAGAGCUAGACUGGGAAAAAAACUCGCGCGUAACUAUAUCCCUAAUGUCCUGGGAAAAAAACUUGAGGAUGACAAACACUUUAUGAUCUCUGCUUCGCAACUCGUCCAUGAGCCAGUCCACUUUGUCCAUGGUAUUCACAAAGACGAUACAAUGAGUGAUGGAUUUAGCUUUAAGGGUCAGCUCAAAUAUGUCACAUAGUGUCUCUAGCUUCCACUCUUCCUUGUCAACAUCCACAUAAAACUGCUUGAUUGAAGAGGGCCUCCCAAAACCUUCGGAAACAGAAUAAAAAAAACAUCAUACAUAUGAUUUUGUGAAAACUGUGUAGCAAGAGUAGCAUAUAUUGUUUUUUAAAAAAACAUAACACACAUGAUUAUGUCUCUUCAAAUCAGUAAAUAAUUUUGAAACACAAAUAUAUAUGGUAUAAGAGUUAAACUUGCAACAUACUAACUAAGUAUCGUCACAUACCGUGUGAAAACCGAAGAAAAAGUUACAAGAAAGCAUAACGAUAAAAACUUAAAGCAUUCAAAUAAAAUAUGCAUACCUUGAGAAUGAGUCGACGACAACAUGGAUAAAACUAAACAAACAAAAGACUGUGGUUGUGAGCGUUAUUCUGUGUGAGAGCGAUGAAUAAGAAUGAGAAUGGUAUAAGGGUUUCUAAUAUUGGACUUUUAUCUAUAUAUAUUCCAUCUACAAAUAAAUCGUAGUUUGUUAUAAAUUAUUAUGAACUUAUCAUAAUUAAAAGAUUGAAGUUGUUCCUAUUUUAGUGGAAUACUUUAAGAUGGAAUAUAACUGAUUUUUCUUUAUUAAAUAUUUAAAUAUGUAAUACAAAAGAUUUCCUCAAAAAAAAUAAAAUAAUAUAUAAUACAAAAGAUAAAAUUGUAGUUAGAAUAGUUUAAAUGAAGGGUAAAAUAAUAAUAAACCCUUUAUAUAUAGUACAAGCAUUCAUAUGGGUUCUCCGUGUUCGUCUAUCCACUAUUUUUAUUGCGCUAAUAUGUAUAAACUAUGAACAAUAAUUUUUAUAAAAUUUUGAUUUAGAUUAAAAAUAUAGAUAUAGAUAUGUUGCACUUUCAUAUUGUAACAAACAAUAUCUAUCUUUUU